This 63214-nucleotide long non-coding RNA is filed under the name Gossypium barbadense (sea-island cotton). RNAcentral's name for it is "long non-coding RNA (GBAR_LNC019361)". The record is from RNAcentral. Lineage: Eukaryota; Viridiplantae; Streptophyta; Magnoliopsida; Malvales; Malvaceae.
AUCAAGUUGUCCCAUACAAUCAAUCUGACCAUUAACCUUAGUCUUGUCUCGAUCUCAUCCUUCAGCCCACUUAAGAAACUGGAAAUGAAAUACUCUUCUAUCAAAGUAGAGUUGUAUUGCAGCAUGAAGGCUUGAAGUUCUUCAAACCUUUCUUGGUAGUCCUCAAUUGUUCCCUUCUGUGCUUCUUUAUUGAAUUCUUCCACCACAUCUAGACGGGUUCUAUCACAAAAUCUCGAACAGAGAUCAUUAGUAAAUUCUUCCCACGUGAUUCUUUCUUUCUGCAUGAUGUACCCACUAUACCAAGUUUCUACUUUACCCACUAAAAACCUGGAAGCUAUUUCCACCUUUUGAUUUUCUCCUACAUGGAAUAAUGAAAAAGUACUUCCGACACUACUGCACCCAUCCUGUUGGAUUUUGGCCAUCAAAGUUCUGAAGUUCUAUUUUUGGUUUGGGGUUAAACAAACCCAAAUUCCCUUGUGUCAUUGUACGACUGUCCCUGUCCACGACUGGUGAUUCUUCUAGCAUCUCCUUACUGCUGGACCCAACUAUAUGUAUUCCCAUUUUGGGUAGGUGAUGGUUAGGAGAAGGGUGUUCUUUUGAAUGGGAUGUGAUGCUAGGACCCUAGGUUCUCCAAGCUGGUAGGUGAAUUUCUCAUGAAUAUCAAUGACCAUUAUGUGCAUGGGCUUUUUCCCAUCAGCUUUCGAUAAGGUCUUUUGAGGUAUCUGGGUGUAGUUGCAGUAUUAGGGGGUAGUGGCCUUUGUCCCUUGGAUAGCAUAUCCAGGAUUCUGGGAAUGUAUCCUUGGGUUUCUGUGAACUUAGUUUCAGUACUUUUUUGCUGUUCUUCAAAUUUUGCAUCACUACUUUCUCUUUGUUUCUCCCACAAUUUUGGAAUUUUGUUAUCAUCUUGUAGGAUAUCGAGUUGCCCCUGGAGCUGUUGCAUCCUGGCACCAUCAAACCCAACCAUGACAAUGGUUUUAUUGUGUUUUCCCAGCUCGAAUUAGUGAAUCUUUGGAAGCUCUAAUACCAAUUUGUAAUUGAAAUUUAAGAGAAUUUAGGGAUUGAGAAUAGACGAAAGGGAUUUAAGAAGGAAAUAGUUGUGUAAUUCAUUCAUGAGCAAAUUAGUUGUUACAGACCCUAUAUAGGCCAUUCUGUUAUAACAACCGUACUAUUAUUUAUCUAGCUGUUGCUGCUUGAUUCAGUUGAUUCUGUUCUAACUGUGCUAACGUUAAGUUUGGUGUUUGGGUUUUCCGGGCCUUUUACUUCACAAGUCCACUUGCCUACUUAUCCUGACGUUCUAGCCCAUUCUGAAUAGUUGUGUUUGGCCCAACAUCAGGCCCAUCAUCCUUUAGUCCAUGGGCUUUUCCAAGUGGUCCUUUCAGAUUCCUAAUAUCCCCAAUUCCCCUUCAGUUGGAGUACCCACCCUUUUUUCUUAACGAAGCGGACCACUCUCCAUCGGGAUUAUAGAGCCUCCGAUUUGAGUGCUUUCCUAGUGCUCUGAGCUGGUCUAACGGUCGGUUUAGAUGGAUGGUGGGGUGUGGUACAGUGUAUUUAGUUUAUUUUUUUGUCUCAUAUUACAGUAUUACUAUAAUAUCUAAUCUCACCAUCAUUACUGUUUUUAUACUAACUGUAUAUAAAUGUACUCUCCAUCUAAACUCUCCCUAAUAUGUUUGAAGCGGCUUAAAGGCUGUUGUGGUUGAUGGUGUCAGUCGCCAGUUUCUAAUGGGUUUGUUUUCUUCCUUGCCGGCUCUAGAUGAUAUUGGUCUGUGACCAAUUCUUUCAAGAUUGCUCGGUGGUUUCUUCUACCGGAGAAUAGUUUUCUAAUAAAAAAAAAUCUACUGAUAUUUUAACUUAAAAAGAAAUUCAUUUACAAAGACAAAAUUCUGAAGUCAUCAAGUAUGUUACAUGGACGUAAAGAAACAAGGCUAUAACAAUCUCAAAAAGAACUCAUUGUCAUCAAAUAACUCUUCUUCACUUUGAUCAUCUCCCUUACAGCUUCACUAAAAGGCUUUUCAUCUCCCACCAAUGGAUCAUCACUGUUGUUUUCAAUCAUCCCAUCGACCACAGGUCUGAUAAGAACAAGUGUUGCCCGUUUCAUCACAUACCCUGAAUCCGGUAAAUCAAGCAUAGGCAAGUACCACAGUUUCAUGUUCACUUCUGGAAUUGGACUUCUCUCCAUUGAUGAUGAUGAUGCUUCUUGUUUUGUGUCAAUGGAGUUCCUCAUCUCAACAAGCUCUUCUUUUCCCAUACUAAACAUCCCUUGCUUGUUUGCAUCAGAAAUCACCACUCUUUCAAGCAUUGGAAUGUUUGGAUUGUCAGCUAAGAUUUGCUUCAACAAAUAUUGCCUCGUUGAUGCAGCAAUCAAGCAAGAAAUGGUCCAUAUUACUCUUAAUUUCAGCUCGUCAUCGUUUAACACGGUUUCCUCCAUGAAUACCCGCUCUUCCUUCCGUUGUGAGAAAAUAGCCGAUGAUGAAAACGUAUUGCAUUUUUGAAAAGAUGUAGCCCCAACGAUAAUGCAAGUCCUCAAGUUGCUUCCAAAAUCUGCUUUCCAUUGAAGGAAAGUAGCUCCAUUACUUGAUCCCAACUCACCAGCUCCAUGUAAUGGAAGCUCUAAAUGCAACGAUUUCAUUUCCUUGAAAAUUCUCAAAACCCCAUUUGAGUGACAACAAGAGAUAUCAAAUGACAUUGUCGUUGACUUGGGGGAAGCCAUAAGGCGAUGGAAACAUCUGACUGGUUUGAGGAACAAGUUGUGAAAAACCUGUCUCAAAGUAUUGUUUAUGUACGAAGCAGCAGUAUUGCUUGGCUUUGGGAGAGGUGGGAUUGAGAUGAAAAUGGUGUCGGUGAAAGGAACAAGGGAACGGAAACGCUUUGAGACUGAAAGACAAUUGGUAAGAGAUUUGAGAUCAUGCAAUUUGUUGAAGAUGAGAAGAAGAAGAGCAUCUGGAAGACAAUCAAAGUAAGCUAAAUCAUCAUCUUCUUCCUGGGUUUUGUAACACAUUUUGGUGUUGCGGGAACGAAAUGAAGCUCUGGGUAUCCUGUAAAGAAGAGCAUGGGAGGAUGUUUUAUAGGAUUUUGGUGAUUUUCCUUCUAAAGAAUUCAAAGUGUACGCGUUUUGACCAUGGAUUUGCACACGCUUGAAAAGCUAAGGUUUUAUUUUAUUGAUUUAUUCUAUGAAAGGCCGACCUUGUCAUUUGUUUAAGCUUUAAGCAACAUUGAUUGUGUUUAAUGGCCUAAAGGGUCAGUGUGGGGGAGCUGUUCAAAGUUGACAAUCAUAAGAGGCCCAGUGAUGGCGUGGAAACCUUAUCUAUCCCUCAUUUUGUUUUCUUAUCAUUACAUGCCCAACAUUAACUUUUCUCUAUGAACAAAUUUUAUAAUAAGUUAUAUUUUUCGAGUGUUUUAAAUUAUAUAUCUUUUAAUUUGGACUAAAAUGACAAAAUGUAUAAAUAUUGAGGGUUAAAUUUAUUAAAUUUUUUAGAACUAGGACUAACUUGAUAGAAUGUGUAAAGUGUUAAGGGCUAAAUUUAGCAUUAUAUCAAUCAAAAGACUGCCACAUCAGCAUUCUAUUCGGUGACUAAAAAUAACAAUUAAUCUAAUGGAAGUGACUAAAUUAACAAAAAAAAAUUCGGAGACUGAAAUAGGAACGCAUUAAAACUUAGGUGACUGUUUGAGUAGUUUACCCUUUAAAUUUUUUAGAAUUAUUAUUAAGAACUUUUUAAAAGUAUCAAAUUGAUAUUUUAGUUAUAAUUUAGGGGCUAAAUUCGUUAUUAACCCUUUAAAUUAGCAUGUCACGUCAUCCUCUUACCAGAAGGUAACGGAUGAAUGACCAAAAUGUAACACUUCGAUAACUUUAGUGACAACUAUGUAACUUUUAAAAGUUGAGCGACUAAAAUGUAAUAUUAAUAAAAAAUUAGAGACAAUAGAUGUAGUUUCCCGUAAAUAAAACAAAAAAACAAUAACUUUAUUUACACAUAACUAAUUAUAAAUAAAUACCAAGGAGAGUUAUUAAUAGUUAUGUUUAAUGUUUAAUUAUGUUUAUUAUUCACACAUUGUUCAUAUUUUUAUUAAAUUUAAUGAUUAAUUAAUCAGGUGUGACACCUAUAAAUCAAUGAUAUAUCAAAUAUUUUUUCCAUAAUAAUAAUAAUAAUUGAUGAAUGUUGAAACGUGUUUUUAUCAAAAUAAUAAAAAAAUGCGAAGCUCAUGAACGUACGGGAAGUAAAUUUCAAAGAGAGAUCUAGAAAUUUCAAUACCAUUCUUUUAUUAACAUUUAAUAAAUAACUAAACAAUUUUUAACAUUUUAGGCAAACUGUUCAUAUAGUCCUUUUAAGUUUUAAAGUGCUUCUAUUUUAGUCACUGAAUAUUUUUUAAUUUAAUCAAUUCAGUGUUAAAAUGCUUUUGGUCACGGGAUAAAUGAUGGCGUGGUUUCUUUUCAUUUUAACCCUUAAUAUUUUACAUAUUCUAUCAAUUUAGUAUUGAUCCUAAAAUUUCAAAAGAUUAAAAAAUUAGAAGUCUUCAAAAAGUAAUAUUAAAAACAAAAUAUAUUAUAAAAUAUUAAAAUAUAAAAAAAAGUACUACACUUGUAUAAAUAUUUCAUUAUUGUAAAGUGAAUGCCCAUUAGGAUAAGAAGGUUGAUUUUUUUAAGAUUGUGAUGUUUACGAGGAAUACAAUUUUAUAUCAUUUAUACUUCUUAUGCCUAUAAAUAUAGAUUUUAGAAAAACAUUGUCAAUUAUUAUUGCUAUUGAUGAAUAAAAUGUUUACUUUUUGUUUGGUCUCUCCUAUUUCUCUUCUAAACCAAAAGAUUUUGAAAAAAAAUUCCCCUACACCCACACCCACACCCCUUUUACCCAUAAGAAAUAACUCUAAUCUCUCACCUAAAACACCAUUUUUUUCCCAAUUACAUGUGAAUAAAAUUUAAAUAAAGUAAUCGGAUCAGGAUUCAAGAAGAAGGUAUCUAACUGUGGAUUCAAACUCACGUCACUCUUCUUCGCUAAUUAAAUUGCUUGGCUACCUAAAGAUUUGUUUUGCGUCGAGAAAUUUAUAAACCAGUUGCCAUUGGAGAGAAGAAAAGAAAACAAAAAAUCAUCAACAGUAAGAUUCAAACCUAUAGCCUUGUUUUUAACCUCUCACCUAAUCCAAAGCCUUAGAAAAUGUUAUGCCAAAAAAAUGAUGAAGGGAUUCAUUUGCAGAUGGAAAGAAAAGAGAGGCAAGAGUUGAUACACCAGUAUUUUCUUAUUUUGAUAAGGAAAGAGAAGCAUUCAAUUAUUAUGCAUAAUAUUUGGAUAAUUAAAUAUUUGACAAUUGAAUUAAUAUUGGGUCGAAACUUUAAUUACUGCUGUAUUGAACAAAAGAGCAUAAAGUUUAUUAUCUUGAGUAGUAAUUGUCAUUACUUUUGAUUAUUCGAAUUUGUUGUGCUUUAUAUUUUUAAUUUGUCAAAUAUGGUAGAUUGUAAUUUUAACUCUUUAAUUUAGUAACUGAUAUAUAUAUAUUUAUUGGAAUUUUAUUAUAUUAUCUAGACAAAUUACAAUGUUUCCAAUUUUGUAAAUAUGCAUAUUAAAAUAGCAAUUAUAGCGAGCCUUAUAUGAAAUAAUUUAAGAGAAAUAUCUGACUAUCAGAAUGUGAUGAUUCCAUCUAAAACUGAUUAUGAUUCGAUGUACUUGAAGUUGCAAAAUUAUGUGGGGAGAAUAUUAAUUAUGAAAACUUGUUAGAAUUUUUUUUUUCAAAUUUUUUAUGCUUCAAAUGUGCUCCUGUAGUAGCAAUACCGUGAAAAAGGCUUUAAAAUACAUAUUUGAACUAAUAUAAUGUUUACUUGUGAUUGAAUAAAAUAAUAAGCUAUUAAAUGAAAAAUCAUAAAACCCGUCCUACCAAAUUUGCUCCAUUCUCUGAAACAAAUGUAACAAUAUUUAAUAAAUUAAAAGGCAUAAUCUUGAAUGUGGAUUAGACCUGUCCAUGGGCCGGGCCCGGCUCGGGAAAAAUAUCAUAAGCCUGAGCCUUGCCCGACCCGGCCCAUUUUUAAAAUAAACAUUAAAAAAUUAUUUUAAAAAUAAAAAAGUUAUUUUAAAAGUAUUUAAAAAUUAAAAAAUAAUCACAUGUGAGUUAUUAACUCACAAUUUGUCAUUUGUGAGAUUACUUAUUUAGUUAUUUGUUUAAGAACAAAACUUUCAAAUUAUGAAAUCAAUACAAGUCUUGUUAAUGUUGGUGAGUUUAUUUCUCGUGUUUUCAAUGAUUAUUGUAUGCUAGAUUGUCUGUACGAGUAACUUUCACAAAAGCCUAUUGUUUAUACGUAUAAAAUGAUUUAGCAUAAUUAAUUAUUAAUUGUCUCCAAUUAGUAACUAAGUAUUACUUUUGAGGACAAAUUUUUUGUACAUAUAUAAAUAUUCUCCGUUAUAAAUGGCUUUUGAUCAAAAUCCAAAUACAACUCAUUUUGGAAUUAUUUAUUUGAAUACGUGGUAUAAGUUCAAGUUGCUCAUCCACAUUGUAAAAAUUUGGGUAUUCAAAGAAAGUUGAGAACAUAUUAAUUAUGAGUCUCGUUUUAUUAUUAAAUUUUUUGAUGGAAUUUUUGAUUCUGUUAUGAUAUUAUUUGGUUAUUACAACUUUGAUUUAAUAGUUUUCUCAAAUUAGGGAGAGAUAAAUAAUAGUUGGAUGAAAUAAUUAAUUGGAAUGAAUUAUCAUUAACUAGAUUAUUGUAAAAAGUAAUUUGAAUCAAGAGUUCAAAAGAUAAUUCACAAAUGCAUUUAUUGACCUAAUGAAAACAACUUAGUGUUAUAUACUAGUUGAUAUUUAGAAGUGCCAAUAAGACAAUUUUUUAGAUUUAGGAUCCGUUUGUUUACAUGUAAAAGGUUUUACGGAAAAUGUUUUCUACAUUUUCUUGUGUUUGUUUCACAAAAAACAGCUUGACCAACUGAAAAUGACUUACAUGUCAACGUAAAAUAAACCUUUUUUCUUGUAAAAUAACUUACUAAUUUGAAGAGCGUAAGUCAUUUUCUAAAGCUCAUCUCUAUAGGUAAUUUUAUUUUUAUAUAAAAAUUAACUUAAAUCAAGUUUAAUGUUGAUAAUAAAUUUUAUUUUUAUUUUUAAAAAUAUUUAAAAUAUUAUAAUUUUCAAUAUUAUUAAACAUACAUAUUUAAUUAUUUAUACUUUGUCAUCUAAUAAAUUAUUAAUAUAAUUAAUAUAAUUUAUUAUAUUAAUAAAUUAUUUAAUAUUUUAAUUUUAUUUUAAUAAUAAAUUUUAAAAAUAAUAAAUUUAAAUAAUAUUCUUCAUUGAAAAUAUUCAAUAUUCAAUAUUUAAAUAAUAAAUGUUUAUUAAAAUUAUAAACAUAUUAAUAAUAAAUGUUUUGUAGUAAAAAUGUUAAAAUAUGUCAUAAGUCUAUGUACUCUUCACAAAUUUAUAAUUUAGUCUCUGUAAUUCAAGAAUUUAGUCCAUUUACUUUUCAGAUUUGAAAAUCAAGUCCAAUUGUUGAAAUUGUUAAAUUUUUUUUGUUAAUUUUGUUGAUACCACAUUUUUAAAUAAAAAAUACUCACUUGGUAAUCAUGUAACUAAAAAAUGGAAUGAACCUGAAUUUAAUAAAAUAUUUUUAAUAUAUGUAAAAACAAUGUAAAAUAUAAAUUUAUAGAUAUAAAAUAAACUCUAUUAAACAAUGGAAAGAUAAGAAAAUCUCAAAUGUAUGUUUGUUUAAUUUAAAACAACUUUUAUAAAAUAUUUUUAAGAAAUUUGUCAAAUAACAGAAAAUAUUUUACAAAAAUUCAUCCAAACACAAGAAAAUAUUAGCUUUUUAAAAAAAGUAAAUCAUUUUCUGAAAGUCAUUUUCAGUGAAACAAACAAACCCUAAAUGAAAUUAAUAAAUGUAUGAAAUAUAGUAGAUUGAUUGAUUCCAACGGUGAAAAUUCUCGUAAAAUAAAAUAAUAAAUUAAAAUGAUUUUAUAGCGAAGAUAGGUGCUCCAAAAGAGACCCAAUAUAUAAUUAAUUAUUAAAACUCCACAAGAGAUUCAAGUACCAGAAUUUGAAAAUGAAUGAUGAAAAUAAAGAUAUCUUAAUAAGUCUGGUCACUACAAGAAAAUAUGGAAUUAAAAUGAAAAAUUGUCGUCAACAGUUUUGCAUGCAAUAAUUUUAUUGAGAUAAUGGAAGAGAAUAAGCAUCUUGAAUAAAUUUGUCCAAAUAUGUGAAGUUUCUAGACUAGAAGUCCAAAUUUCUAGAUUAGAAGUCCGAAUUUCUAAAUGUAUAAAGCUAGUGGGGUAUAAUUUAUGAAAGGCUUGACACGUAUCUAAUGAUUGUUGGUACAACCUUCUAUAUGAAUCAUUAUAUAAUGAAAUUUAUAUUAAAUUCCUUGAAGGAUUUAGAUUGUUGAAAGCAUAUAGAAAAUUUCAAAAAAUGGUUUAAUUUGUUUGCAUAAAUAUUUAUUAAAUUGGUUUGAACAUAUGUAUUAUUAUAAAAAGAUCAUGAACAGAGCUUGCUAUAAUUAUUGUUUAGAUUAUAAUAUAUUUCCCCAAAAUUCUUUCUCACUCAUGACUGAGUGACUUUCAAAAGAAAGAUUAUAUAAACAUUUAUCAAAUCCAUUCAAAUGAUCAUUUAAAAAGAUAGUAUUUAAUAUUAAAAAAUGUAGAAACUGAGAUAUUAUGAUGUCAUGAGAGAGAGUAAAUACGUGUUGUACUCUUUUUUCCUUAAUCGAGGUUUUAUACUAUUGGGUUUGUUUGUGAGGUUUUAAUGAGAAAACUAUAGGAUAUGUGCGUUCUUUUUCUUUCACUAAGAAUUUUUUUGCUAUAGGAUUUUUAUAUUACUAAGGUUUUGACGAAACACAUUAUAUAUCGAUGGACAUCAAAGAAGGAGUGUUAUAAAUAUUUUAUUAUUAUAAAAUGGAUGUCCAUUAGGAUAAGAAUUUUAAUAUAGUUUAAUACUCUAAUGUCCAUUAAAAAUAGAAUUUUAUAUAAUUUAUGCUUAUUAUGUCUAUAAAUAUAAAUUUUAGAAAGAAUAUUAUAAAUUAUUAUUCUCGAUUGAUGAAUAAGAUGCAUAGUUCUCUUUUGUUGUUCUAUUUCUCUUGAUGUUUAUCAUCUUUGUUCUUUAAUUUAUAACAUAUACCAAUCAGAAGUAAAAGAGCAUAAAUGCAAGCAAAUGGAAAUCAAAGACAAUUAGCGUGGAGACAUGCUGAAAUGAAAAUGCAUGUGACUGAACUAGGAUACAAGGGCAAUGCAAUGUGACAGCUUUACCUUUAGGUCCCUUACAUUGACAAGAGAGUCAUCUUUGGUUUUAAUAUGCAUUUUUUUUUCCCUUUAAGAUGAGAGAUACUACCUGACACCUUUAUAUCCCUUAGUUUCAGCAAGUGAAAAUAACGAUGAAGCUACCUAAAUAAAAGUUGAAUUUAUAAGACAAGAAAGGAAUAAAAGGAAGCAAUGAAAAAGCAGAGAAGGGAGAGGCCCUUAAGGGGAGGAUGGAAGCGAGUACGAUAGGGAGACAUCAUGGCGGUGGGGCGACGGCUUGGGGUUGCCAAAGAAAUCCCUUUCGGAGGAGGCUACUGGGUACGUCACUGCCAUUGUUGGCGGGCAAUGCUAUUCAAGAUAUGAAGUUGUAAUGGUUGUUGUUGUUAUUGUUGGUGGGCAUGACCCUCUCAUACUCCCCUCCUACUAUCAUUGUCGUCGCGGUUACUGAAUUUGCAUGGAUGCUCAAAUAUUUAUAUAUAUAUUUUGUAAUCUUAUAUUACUUAUAUAUUUAUGAUAUUUUUGAAUUUUUAUGUAUUUUUAUUUUGAGAUUUUUAAAAAAAAUAUAUUUUUAAAAUUUUUUUUAAGGUCAACACCAAAUUAAUAAAAUAUGUAAAUAUUGAAGAUAAUUUUGUCAAAUUUUUUAGAAUUAGGACUAAGUUGAUAGAAUAUGUAAAAUGUUAAAGGCUAAAUUUAUUAUUAUAUCAAUUAAAAAAAGGUAACGUCAGCCUUCCAUUUGGUGGCCAAAGGCAUUUUAACGAUGGAUCGAUUACAAAAUACAAUUAAUCUAAUGAGAGUGAUUAAAUUAACAAAAAAAAAUGAUGACCUAAAUAGGAAUGCCCUCAAACUUAAUUAAUUAUUUGAAUAGUUUACCCUAAAAAUUUUAAUGAUCCGUCAUUAUCUUAUUUAUUAAUAAUAUAUAGAAUUAAAUAAUUAAAUGUGUGCUUGAUUAUGUACAAAACUGAAAGGAUAGAAGAAUAUAAUGGAAUAUAAGAAAGAAGAUAAAAAUGUGAUUUGGUAAGAAAAGAUGUGAGAGGAAGAAAAAUAGAAAACAUGAAUAUUUUCAUCACAAUCCAGAAAAACAAAUCAUUCAAAAUUAAUCAAAGUCUAUUGGAAGUCCCUAUAAUAUGUAAAGUUCAUUUUAGUCCUUCUAUUAAAAAUGAUUUCAGAUUAGUUUUUGUAUAUUAAAAAUUUAUUCAAAUUAUGAUAUGUUAAAUUUGUAUAUUAAAAAACUCAAUCUUCCCAAAAAAAUUUCCAUGUAUUUUUGAAUUAUUGUCUGACUAAAAAAAUCUGUUAAGUCUGUAUUUUUUCAACCACAAUAUGGUUUAAAGAUGCAUGGAUUUUUUUUGGAAUGGUUGGGUUUUUUUUACGGGUUCAGUUGGGUCAUGGGUAAAUUAAUUGGUAUGAUAUUUUGUCCAAAUUAUUAGCAACUUAAUAGCAAAUUAAACAAUGUCAUGAUUUGAACAAAAUAAUUUUAAUGCACAAGGAUUAAUCUGGAGUAAUUGUUAGUAGAGGGACUAAAAUGAACUUUACUUAGUAGUAUAACAAUUUUGAAUAAAUUUACAUGCAUGAUAAGUACAAUUAUAUCGAUAAAUUCUACGGUUUGGAAGGGAUCCACUUACAGUGAUGUAAAACUAACCAUAACUUUUUAUAUGAUUAACAUUUUGACAAGCCGACCAUUGAAUUUAUUUCUCUAUUGAUGUAGAUCAUGCAUGUCAAGUUUGACAUAAAUUAAAAAUUUCUAACUAUUUGUUUUAAGUAAAAAAAAUUCAACCCUUAAAUAUAUAAACAAUUUAAAGUAAAUAGAGGUGAUAGCAUAUUUUGAUCAAAUCCUGGAAGGAAGCAGCAGCAACUCCACUUCCAAGCUUAAUCUUCACACCAGCUAAACAACCUAACAGUUACAACCAAGUAUCAUGGGUAACAUAAUUUUCUUUUUCAUUGUAUCAAACAGAGCCUCCAUAGCAAGAAUUAGUUCACUGUUAAAACAGCAUAAUAUACUCUUUCUCAAGUAGUUUUCUUACUGUAGCCAGGUUGGUGGUGACACCAGUUGCAGUCUCAUUCCGAACAUAAUGGUAGCAGGAACUUUUUAAGUCGGAUCAAACGGGAUUCAGGUUACACAACUCUAACAUGUUUAAUCUUUUCAUUUGUUUUGAUUAUGUUCUUAUUUAUAUUUGGUGUUGAUUUGAAUUUCAUUAUGAAUUAAUUAUUUUAAGUGGUGAAGAAAUAGUAGAUUAAUGGGUUAAUAGCUAAAAUAAGUUAAAGAUGAAUUUAGAUCAUAACUACAUUAACUAUUCAAUUCGCUAUUCAUAAUUAGCUUAGGUGAUAUAUAGAUUAAGGAACAUACUUGGGUGGAGUGUGACGAGAUGAUAACUAAACCUUAGCCAAUUAAUUGAAUAGUUAGUGGAGCCAUUGAAAUAUAGACCAAUUGUGAGGCUACUUAUAAAAUAUACACCAAUGUAGGUAGUGAGGAUCGAUAAUAGUAUCGAUCAACGGUUUAAAUUAAGUAUUAUUUCUUUUUAAGUUUAUAUAUAUCAUUUUGAUUAUUACAAAAUAUUAUCUUAUUAUAAAAUAAAUUUCGAUUGUCAAAAGAAAAUUGUACUAUAAUAUUUUGUAAUAAAUAUCUUUUAUGUCGUGUUUAUUUUAUAAAAAACAGCUUUUAAAAGAUUAUUUAAAAAAAUUAUAAAAUAACAAACAAAAUAUUUUAUGUAAAAUCAUCCAAACACCGAAAAUAUCAAUUUUUUACCACUAGCUUGGAUUUAUCAUAGUUAGGGGCUUUUGGUGAAAAUGAAGGUGAUAGAUACAUGAUAUAUAUAAAGUAAGCAUAAUGUACAAUUCACCCGCACGGUAUACAAACAAACUAGUAUUUGUCUAUAAAACAUUAAUCUCCAAACCAAAUAACCCCCUUUUUUAUCGCAUCGAUAGUCUUUGUAUUUUUAAUCCUACACUAUCUUUCCCUCUGAAAAUCAACAUUUCUCUCCCUUUUUCCGAUCGGACGAUAGUUCAGAAAACGAAUCGUCUUCCUCCUUUGGAAUCGGGAGCUCUCACCUUACACUCGGCGACCCGAACCACCCUCAAACCCAGGAGGGACCGGAGUGAAAACGGUCUCUUUGUUUAAAAAAAAAAUGGACAGCCGAUUAUUGUGUUUCAUUAUUGGGCGAUUUAAAUAGGCAUGCACGAUUCAUUGUUAACCCCUGCUCCUGUCCAUUUAUACCCUAAAUAUUUCUUCUCCUCAUUACUCAAAAAGCUCUCAUUUAUUUUCUUUUAAUGGUCAGCCUCUUUUCGGAACAAUAAUCGGCUUUUAUUUUUGGCGGUCGAUUUUUUUUUCCUACUCAUUUUUUGUCCUCGACGCUUUGAGUUUAGGGUUUUGGGUUGCGAGCUUUUUCUUUAAAAUUUUAAUGUUAGGGUUUGUUAACCGGAGUUUCUAGUGUUGGAUUUUUCCCGUGUUUAGAGUGAUGGAUGUUUUGUUUUCUUUGUUCAAUUCACGUUUUUCUUGGGCCUUCUUGGUCAGACUUCUCGAUUGUUUGGAUUGAUUUAGAAUUUCGAUCGUUCUGUCCAGAAAUUCACCUGGCAAGUGUCUGAGCAAUACUUUUGGCUGAUUGAUUUCUCAGCUUCUCAGCAAAGCUUGUGAAGCUGCGUUGCAUUUCCUCAAAUCUCUUUGUAUAUUUGUCAAAGAGGAGAGUUAUUUGCAUAGGAUUUCCAUAUGAAAUGAUGGCAUUUUUUCGGAACUAUUCAAAUGACACAGACGCACACGAUGUAUUGGAAGAGAAAAGCCAGGGACAAAGCAUUGGUAGGAUUCGAAGUUCAGUAGGAAAUGAUGAUGUGGGUGGGAGUGGGACUUAUUCCGAAAGAGAAUUUGAUAUUAAUGCACACUAUCAAAGUGACGGGGAGCCAGAUGGUUCUGUUAGGCUCCAUAAUGAGGUGGCUGCUGCUAGCGGUGCUGGUGUUUCAAAUUCAAAUUUUCAGCCACCGGGAAGAAGAGUAGCUCCUGGAAAAUGGGGUUCGACUUUUUGGAAGGACUGUCAGCCUAUGGACCACCAGGGUGGAUCGGACUCUGGGCAGGAUUCGAAAUCUGACCACAGGAAUUUGGAAGCUUCGGAAUAUAAUUCAUCAGAUGACAGGGAUGAUAGGUUGGAUGUGGAAGAUGAUGAGGCGCAGAAAGGCAAGGCUCAGAGGGGCAAUUCUGAUGUUCCUGCAGAUGAGAUGUUAUCUGAUGAAUACUAUGAACAGGAUGGCGAAGAGCAAAGUGAUACCAUGCAUUAUACAGGCUUUAGCAAUUCUGUUGGGUUAAAUACUAGGCCAAAGUCUAAGCCUGCUUCUCUUAGUAGCACUAUGUCCGGGAGUUCAAGAGCUUUAAAUAACUUCAACUAUGAUGAUGAGGAAAACAAUCAUGAUGUUGAUUAUGAAGAGGAGGAGGAAGAAGAUGGUACAUUAUAUCUUACCGUAUUAUUUUCAUGUUCUGCCUUAUUUCUUAUUACAAUGUUUCACAUUGGGUCACUGCUCAGGUCGAAUAAACCAGUGCACUGAACUUGAUGAAUGAUAUAUUCUCCCAUGAUUUUAACUAUACAACAGUUCUUAGUUAGUCUUGUCUUGAGAUGUCAAGUUUUUCCUGUCUUAUUUGCAGAAGAUGACCCUGAUGAUGCAGAUUUUGAGCCUGACUAUGAUGCUGCAAGUGGUCGUGCUGGGAAUCAGGUCAUUGAUUUGGUUUGCUACUCGCCUUCUGUUUUGAUUUUAAAUUUAUGGUUUUUAUUUUUGACACUUCCACACUGUAACUUUUGUGUAAUUUUUGAAGGCAAAUCUUAUCCUAUCCAUUUUUGGCCCAAGUAAAAAGAUAAUCACGAAGAAAGGAGGAUAUGUAUAAGAAGCUGCAUUUAAUCUUAGGAAUUGAAGCAUGUUGGUCUAUGUUACAUGGACUAGGGAUAGGGUGUUGGAUAUGGGUAUCUCUAAUGGAUGUCGGACUUGGUUGAAUGUGCAAUUUGCAUAGAUAAUUAUUAUCGGUUUAUGAAAGCUAUAUCUAGUCACCUGAAAAAGCUGUUUAUGCUCAUAAGAGAGAACUUCCCUCUCUCUCUCUCUCUCUCUCUCUCUCUCUCUCUCGUGGUUGUUGAAAGAAUUGUUCUUGUAGGUUUCAAAUGAUCCUGCUUUUGGUUUUGGGCUACAAAAAUGUAGUGGAAUGACUGUUGGUAUAUGUGGUUAUGUUCUGGGCAACUGCUAAGCCAAUUGAUGAGUUUUAGGAUAUAGGGAAAAAAGAUUCACUUACAUUUCUAGUAAGGUUGAAUUUAGGGGACUGCAACUGAAGCUGGUAGUUUCAGGAGAUUGCUUUUUAUCUUUUUGAUGAGGACAGGAACAGUGGUUAUGUAUAUGAAUUAUUUAAAUUAUGGUCUUACCGCAUGGCUUCAAAGGAAAUUAUGGUUUUGAUAUUGUUCUUCUUGUUAAUGUCUACUUAGGUUCUCAUUUAUCUACUUUGAUGUUUGAAGGACUAGUUUUUUUUUUCUCUCUCUCUCCAGAGUUGAGCAUGAACCUUUUAUACAUUGGUAGAUUGUUUAGAAUUGCCUUUUCCUUCAUAAUUUUUUGCUCUAAUCCCUUGCCUUGCUUCUGCAUUCCAUUCAUUAUUUCACUUCUGACAGUUAAAAUUAGGUUCAAACUUCCUGGUACUCUAGUUUCUAGGGGGAAUAAUGGAGGGGAUUUUUUUGGAGGAUCUGUUCUUUUAUUAAAAAUAUGUUCUAUGGCGAUCAUGAAGGUUGGUCCAUGAUGGUUGUGUUGCUUAUGCCUUACAUCAGCCUGAUACUUCUUCCUGCUAAUUUAGUUCGUUAAACAGGACAAAGACUGGGAUGGUGAAGAUUCUGAGGAAGAAGACAAUAGUGAUGGUGAUGUAGAUAUUUCAGAUGAAGAGGAUUCUUAUUAUAGAAAAAAACCUAAAGGAGUGCAACAUGUUAAAGUUGGACUUAAUGUCAAACCCACUAAAGAACGUAAAUAUACCAAUCGACAAAGAAGAGGGAAAUCAUCAUUUGAUGAGAAUGAAUGCUCAGCUGAGGAUUCUGACAGUGAAAGUGUCCAUGAUUUCAAGAGCAUUGCUAGAAGAGGUGGAAAUCACCGUAUAAGUAGUGCUCGUUCUAAUACGUUCACAAGCAUGGGAAGAAACAGUGAGGUCCGUACUUCUAGUAGGUCUGUACGGAAAGUAUCAUACGUUGAGAGUGAAGGAAGUGAAGAAAUUGAGGAAGUCAAGAAGAAGAAGACUCUAAAGGUAAAUUCUUCUCAUGUUGUUAUGGUUAUUAUUACAUACUUUACUAUUUUAGCAGGUAUGUAACGUCUUUCAUAUUUGAUGUAAUUGAUUGCUUAUAAAUUGGAACUUCUGAUGUAGGUUAUCCAAGUUGGUAUUUAUGGACUUUGCAGAUAAAAUGUAAUAAUGACUCUGUAAUCAGCAUUCUGUUGCAUAUAUAUUCUGCAUCCAUGUUGUAUGAACAUCGCAAUUUUUCCUUGAUUAAAAGUUGCUUGAUAAGGAUCAUGGCAACUAUUUUUAGUAGUUCCAAUUUAUAAGCAAUUAUUUUUAGUAGAUUAGUUGGAUCUUCUGUUGCAUAUAUAUUCUACUUUAUUUUUUUAGUAGAUUAGUUGGAUCUUUCAUAUUGAUGCAACUAUUUGAUUGUAAAUGAACUUGUGAGAUCUAAAUUAUUCAAGUUGUUUUUUGUAUGUAUUUGACAGAUAAACUGGAAUAUUGACUGCAUAGUCAGGCAAUCCUUUGUCUCUAUUCUUUUUUGUCUGAAUUGAUAUUGUUUGCUAUUGAUUAAUGCUUGCAUGGUUAGGAUCAUAACAUUCUUUAUAGCCUUUGUAUCCUAGGCGAUUCAUAUUGUCAGUAGAUGAGAUUGGAACAAGUAGUAUGAUACACCUACUCUCCCCAAGUAUUUUUUUUGGCUUUUCCCUUUUAGCUCAGUUCAACUUACUAUUACCAGAGAUUCCUUGUUUAAAAUGUGUUGACUUUCUAAUUCUGUUAUUGAGGUUGAUCUGGUCCCACUCUUGUUUGUGUUUAUGUGUGUUUGCCCUUUGUUUUGGUUUUACGUGUUAAAUCUUGAACUUGCAUAAUGGGGUGGGAAGCGCAUGGACUUCGGAUACCUGAACGGGAGAUAAUGAAGCAACCUUCUGAAGCUCUGUUAAUUUUUUGCCAUGUAGUGAAUGUGGUUGGUUUACAUAAAUGUGCAUCCUUUUGGUGAAUUUAAGUCCACAAUCUUGAAACAUCUAACUUAUGAUGGUCUUUUAGUAAUAUUAUUAUUAUUUGAAAAUCUAAUAUUGCUUGUUUAGGAUGAAGCUGAAGAGGAAGAUGGUGACUCAAUUGAAAAGGUGUUAUGGCAUCAACCAAAGGGCAUGGCUGAUGAUGCUAUUAGAAACAAUAGAUCUACAGAGCCUGUUCUGCUAAGCCACUUGUUUGAUUCUGAACCAGAUUGGAAUGAGAUGGAAUUCCUGAUUAAAUGGAAGGGGCAGUCACAUCUUCAUUGUCAAUGGAAACCGUUUUUUGAGCUACAAAAUGUGAGUUAUUAUUAUGUGUAUAGUAAUGCAUGUGUCCUUAAGAAGUAUUAUUUGUGGAGGCUUGUUUCUAGUGCCAUGGGUUUCUCUCUCUCUUCCUCUGAUUACUUGUGCUUUUUGUUUCCAUGCAUGAUUUUCCAGCUUAGUGGUUUUAAGAAGGUUCUAAAUUACACAAAAAAGGUGAUGGACGAUGCAAAAUACAGGAAGGCGCUGUCACGUGAGGAGGUACAUUGCAUCUUAACUUGUGAAUUUCUCAUUCCAAGUUGGGGAUCAUUUGAAUCACUUUGGAAAAUUUACUUAUUUUGGGUUCUGAAUAUAUUAUAUACCCAAAUUAUUUUGAACAAAUUCAUAACCGAUGUAUGUUUGCUCUGUGCCAACUACAUGGCUCAAUUUUAUGGUAAAUGGAAAGAAAAUAAGCAUGCUGAAAGGUAUAAUGUAUAAUGCUUUUGUUGCAUAUCUUUAGCUCUCUAGAAUACAGGCUAUAAGCAGUAUGUGAUAUUAUCAGUACUCUUUUCUUUUUUACUAGACUAAUUUGUUUUCACAAUCAUGGUGGUCACAUACUAAGGUUUAUCAUAGAGCUUUGACAUUAAGGUAAUUUAUGCUUUUAUUGUUUUUUUUUUGGGGGGGGGGGGGCGGGCACUUAAAUAUGUGGAACAAGUUAUUCCUGCCAUGGGAAGGAGUGAAAAAGAAUUGUACACUUGCAUUAAACAGAUUGUAAGAUAAGCCUUCUUUUGGAAGUUGCUUAUUUUUUUUGCUUCUGACUUUUUAUUCUCUAUUACCCAUUAGAUUGAGGUAAACGAUGUAAGUAAGGAAAUGGACUUGGAUCUAAUCAAGCAAAAUAGUCAGGUUAGCUUUAUUAAUUCCUUGUUUCUUUAAUGUUUUGGUUGAUUUUCUUGGUUGUACUCCUUAAGUUAAUCGUAAUUGAUUUACAUGUUCAGGUGGAGAGAGUAAUUGUUGAUCGAAUCAGUAAGGAUGCCUCUGGGAAUGUCAUGUCAGAGUAUUUGGUCAAGUGGCAGGGAUUGUCUUAUGCAGAAGCAACAUGGUAACAAUCUAGACUUAUAGUUUAAUAACAUAUGAAAUUUGUGUCUUUAUCAUGUAGACUUUGUACUCUUUAUCUAUUCUUUCUGCAUGUCCUGCUUAACACAGCUCCAGUAUUUAUGAUUGUGGUUACAUAUUUGUUUUAUCAGGGAAAAGGAUAUAGAUAUUACAUUUGCUCAAGAUGCUAUUGAUGAGUAUAAGGUAACAUGUCCUGCAAAUUGUGCUUGCGCAUGCUUUUACUAUAAUUUUCUGUAACAGCUACCGUGGCAGUGUUUGUAAUGUUGUGCAAUUUUUGGACACUACCGCCUAGGCAUUAUUCAGAGUGAUAUGGUUGUGACCUAUACUUGCCUUUCAGUUAUUGCAGUGGAAUUGCUGGCAUGGCCCCAUGUUUCCAUGUUAGACGUAUUGCAGUUAAGCAUUAUGUUUGAUCUUUACGUAGGUCAAAGCAAAUGAAUACAGGCUGGUGGUACAUUGGUCCCUUUCGUCAUUACAAGUUAAAGAGGUCCAUGAUAGCUAACUUCGGUAUUAGAAAAUAGGUGGUACAUUAACUAAAUUACAAUUUUAACUCUUAUUUCUUAUUUAAGGGUGCAGUUGUUUCAUGGAAAACAGCUUGGUCAAUCAAAAAUGACUUGCAAGUCAACGGAGAAUAGUCUCUUUUAACUGUAAAAUGACUUACCCUCUUAAAAAGCGCAAGUCAUUUUCUGGAAAAAACCUCCUUUAUGGGUAAUUUUAUUUUUAUAUAAAAAUUAACUUAAAUCAAGUUUAAUAUUAUUAUAUUAAUAAUACUUUUUAAUUUUUAAUUUUAAAAUAUUUAAAUAAUAUUUUUCAUAUAUUGUUGAAAAGUAUUUAAUAUUAAUAUAUUGAUAAUAAAUAUCUAUUACAAUUAUAAAUAUAUUAAUAAUAAAUGUUAUAAAGGUUAAAAUAUGCCAUAAGUCCAUGUACUCUUAACAAAUUUGGAACUUAGUCCUUGUACUUCUAUUUUUAAGAAUUUAGUCCCUGUACUUUUUAGAUUUGGAAACCAAGUCUAAUUGUUAGCAUUGUUAAUUUUUUUUGUCAAUUUUGUUGAUGUUACAUUUUUAAAUAAAAACUAUCCACUUCGUAGUCAUGUAACUAAAAAAUGACGUAAUGAACUUGAAUUUAACAAAAUAUUUUUUAUAGUGUUAAUAAUUAAACCUAAAUUUUGAUAUCUAAAAAGUAGGAUUAAAUUUCCAAAAAUAAAAGUACAUGGACUAAAUUUUAAGUUUACAAAGAGUAUAAGGACUUAUGACAUAUUUUAACUUAGUAUAAAAUAUGAAUAUUUUAAUUAUAUAAAUAUACAUAUUUGUUUAAGUAAUGCUUAGCUUGAUUUGUCUCUUACAACUCUAAUGUGUCAAUAUGUACUCUCAUAUAUGUAAUUUAAAUUAAGUUUUAAUUAAGCAUUAUUUAUUAUUAAGUUUAUAUAUGACAUUGAUUAUCACAAAAUAUUAUCUUAUUAUAGAAUAAAUUUCGAUUGUCAAAAGGAAAUUGUGCUAUAAUAUAUUGCAACAAAUAUAUUUAUGCCAUCUUUGUUUCACAAAGAACAACUUUUAGAAAAUGAUUUUAGGAAAACUUGCCAAACUACGGAAAAUAUUUUAUAGAGAAUCAUCCAAACACCAGAAAAUAUCAUCUUUUCCAAAAAUUCAAUAUAUUUUUCAGAAAUCAUUUUUCGGAAGUUGUUUUCAAUGAAACAAACACAACCUAAAUAUCUUAUGAUAAUGCCAAUGACUUUUCGCUUUUUGAUGAUUACAGUCUUCACCAUUUUGAAAUCUUUAUUUUCAGUAUAUUAGAGCUUGUUAGGUUUUCUAGGAGAAUAAUUGGCGCUGAAUUAGAAGGAAAAUGAGGAAUUAAGCAUUUGUAGUGUAUCUUAUGAUAUUACAAGCUGGAGGUUCUGGUAAAAUGAUUUUUGGCAACAUGUAUAAGCCAUGUAUAGGCCAUGAUGUUUGAAACUGAAAUUGUACAUGACAAGUUGAAAUUUAUAAUGUGUAUUCUAAUCCAUUAUCUGUUGUUAAAUUUGGUCAGCACUCGCCAGGGCUUCCUGUUACUUUUUUUUUUGUUUUAAUUAUUUUUUGAAUGUGUAAAAUAUUCUCUAUGGUCAUACAAAUUCAACUACUUGUCAUUCUGUAAACAGGCUCGUGAUGCUGCAAUGGCUGUGCAGGGAAAAAUUGUAGAUCACCAGCGUAAGAAAGGCAAAGGUAUGUACUGCUAAUUUGUGUUUAUUAAAGGUUGUCCUACAGCCACUGCCCCUCUAUGUUCCCUCUAGAACUCAGUCUUAGUUUCUUCCCCUUUUUUUUAUUAUACUUUUACAGUUCAUCUUGUAAAUGGCUCAUUUAAUUUGGGUGCAUUUUUCAUCUUUAGCAAGUUUGCGGAAACUUGAUGAACAACCAGAGUGGUUAAGGGGAGGAAAGCUUCGUGAUUAUCAGCUUGAGGGUUUGAAUUUUCUUGUUAACAGGUAUAUACGUGUUUCUAUUGAUUUAGGUUAGGCAUUUUUUUUUGAUUUAGGUUAGGCAUUUUUUUUUACGGGAAAUGAUUAUCUGAAUUCUGAAUCCCUGAGCAUCUGAUAUAUAAUUAAUGAAUGUUCUUCGUGUUCACAUAACAGUUGGAGAAAUGAUACUAAUGUCAUCUUAGCUGAUGAAAUGGGUCUUGGUAAAACUGUCCAGUCAGUAUCUAUGCUUGGUUUCUUACAGGUAAACCUGGUCUUCUAAGAACAGCUGGGUUAUUAUUCUGAAUUGUAUGGCUUUCCGUUGAUAUUUUUAUUUUUUAGAAUGCUCAACAAAUCCCUGGACCAUUUCUUGUGGUUGUUCCAUUAUCAACCUUAUCAAACUGGUCUAAAGAAUUCAAGAAGUGGCUUCCAGAUAUGAAUGUUAUUGUAUACGUUGGUACUCGUGCAAGCCGAGAGGUGAGUCCUGUUUUUCUUGUAUGUUUGCUCGUUUUAUUCAAUAUAUCUGACAAUUGGAGUGGGUUUAAUAUGUUUUUAUAUGUCACUGUUCUGUCUCCACCCAAAUAUACCCUUUUUGUUGAUUUUUAUCUGCCUAUGAAGUUAUAAUUUUCUGUUAGAACGUCUGGUACUGGUUGCUUUGUAUCUUAACUAAGGUGGGUGGUAGUUAAAAUAUUUUGAACCCUUCCUCACUCCAAUUUUAUUCUUUUUACAUUUUUAUUUUCUUUUGCUGGCAGGUUUGUCAGCAAUAUGAAUUUUACAAUGACAAGAAAAUUGGCAGACCUAUAAAGUUUAAUACCCUGUUAACUACGUUCGAGGUAGUUCUGAAGGAUAAGGCAGUGCUGUCUAAGAUAAAGUGGAACUAUUUGAUGGUUGAUGAAGCUCAUAGGUUGAAGAAUAGUGAGGCACAGUUAUACACAACGCUUUCAGUAUGCGAUAUUUGAUCCCUUCCUGCCGUAAAUAAUUAUAUUGGUUAUGUUAAUAUGAUUAAUAUUGAAUGGGGCCUUUCUGUUUUCUCAGGAAUUUAGUACUAAGAACAAGUUGCUAAUUACUGGAACUCCAUUACAGAACAGCGUUGAGGAGCUAUGGUAUUAUUUUCUUUUACUUUGUACUACUAUGAGAUUUUGCCAAUUUUAGAUGUAGAUUUUGAUACUAGUUUUUUAUAUGCAUAUAAAAGAAGAGAAUCUAUCAAAGCUGAAAUUUCUUCUGAUAUCAACUUUAUAUGUUGCAUUUAGACAAUGGGAGUUUCUGUGCCUGCUUUUAAUUGUUGUUUUAUAACCAUAGCCUCUUGAGGAUAAAAUUCUUUUGCCUAACUUUAAUCUUGUUAAUAUUUGUACUUUAUAACUUUUUAAACUCAUCUUUCCUCACUAUUUCUGGUUGACCGCAUGAUUAUCUUUGUUCUUUUUGUCUCUCUUGUGAAAUGUUACUGGGUAGCUGAAUAAUAGUUUUUAUUUAUUUAUUUAAAUUUUUAGUAAUAAAAUGAUACCAACCUUUUUUAUUGGCAAACCAAUAAUUCUAUUCAUUUCAAACUUGGAAUCUAGCAUGGGGAACAGACUUGCAAAUCCUUUUCAAUUGGCUGAUGAAUAGUCUUGUAUGCUUCUUCAGAUAGUAUUUUCCAUUAUUUUCAUCCCUGAAUCUUCUUUUGAUAGGGCUCUGCUUCAUUUCCUUGAUCCUCACAAGUUUGAAAGUAAGGAUGAUUUUGUUCAAAAUUACAAGAACCUUAGCACAUUUAAUGAAAAUGAGGUAUGCCAUUAGAAGUUAUUGCAUCCUUUUGUCAUUUUUCCUAGGUUAUGUUAUAUUUUACUUGAUCUAAAACCAAAAUCUGUAUUUAAUUUGCAUGUAGCUUGCUAAUCUUCACAUGGAAUUGAGGCCUCACAUUCUUCGAAGAGUUAUCAAGGAUGUGGAGAAAUCUUUGCCUCCAAAAAUUGAGCGUAUCCUUAGGGUUGAGAUGUCCCCGCUUCAGAAACAGUAAGAACUGUAAACUGCUUGCGAAGUUAUGCAUCUUUCUAUUGCAUCAACACAUGAAACUAUUCAUAUUUAUGCAGGUACUAUAGGUGGAUUUUGGAACGCAACUUCCAUGACUUAAACAAGGGUGUUCGUGGCAAUCAGGUUAGUAUCAUGUAUCAUUUCGCUGCUUGAAAACUUUACUUGUGCAGCUUUUUGUGGUUUUUGUCUUCUUUCUUCCGAUGUUUGGUUGUCAUUUGAUUUUACUACCAAUAAAAGCAUGCAGUAUAUAGCGAAGGUGAGUAUUUUUGUAAUUGUUUAUAAAUUUUUUCUUCUCUUUCUGUUAUUCUCAAGCAGUGCUACCCAUCGUAGAAAAUUGAUGUAGGACUUUUCUCUUAAAUUGCAGGUCUCACUUUUAAAUAUAGUGGUUGAAUUGAAGAAAUGCUGCAAUCAUCCCUUUCUGUUUGAAAGUGCUGAUCAUGGUUAUGGCGGGGACACUAGCAUGAAUGAUAUUAGUAAAUUGGAAAGAAUUAUAUUAAGCAGUGGGAAGCUAGUCAUACUUGACAAGUUGCUUACCAGGUUGCAUGAAACAAAGCAUAGAGUUCUAGUCUUUUCCCAGGUUUGUAUUGGACUUGGCAAUUUGUGUAUCCAUGUUGUGUUCAUGUCCAUGUUAUUUUCUAGUGUCAUAAACAUGUUUAAGGUAUUAUAUAUAUUUUAAUAUGUUAAGAAUCCGUGUUAUUAGAUUUUAACAUUUUCCUGUACUUAGUGUUGUUUGUGUUGCAUCCAAUAUUGUCAGGUCUUACUUUUUCAUACUUGUUGGCCACUUGUUUAGUAGUCUUUUACUCUUUUAUGCUAUUUUUGGGAACUUAGAGGGAAAGGAAAAUCAAGGUGGGGUUGAAGAGGGAGAAUGAGAGGGUAUGGUUUGCCUUUUUUGGCUUCCUGAAUAUACUGGAAGGGAAGAGAAAGAUGGUUAAUGUGGCACAACUUGUUUGGUCAAGUAUUGGAAAGGAAAGGAGAUGAUAAUUUGGUAUAUUUUGUAUUUGCAUCCUUUAUGAGUUAUAAGAAGAAACCAAAGCUGACAUUAAAUUGUUGUUCUAAAGCAAAAGCUUUUAAUGAGGUAAAUAGGUAAUAACUCCCCUCCAGAUACUCUCUAUUGCAGAAAAUGGUGGCUUGGCUUUACGAGUAUCUCCUAAUAUCUUCUUUAUUAAUCUCAAUUAUUUGAAACUGAACCACUCUUCCUUCAUCCCUUCACUUUCCUGGGUACUGUAAUUUGUGUAUGUGCUAGUAUACAUAUGUGCAUCCAUACACUUGCACAAUGUGUGUGUGUGUUAAGAAUUGGUGUUAUUGUAUUUGUUAAUAUAGGUAGAUGAGUCAUUAGGUUUCUGGAAAUUAUCUAGUCUGAGUUCUUGAGGGAAACAGAGAAAGCUGAAUAGAGGAAGUAUUGUAUCUGUAUGUUUUAUUAUAGUUUACUUUAUUAUCAUUUUUUUUCUCUCUUCUAAUUCUAUAUUUCUAAUCCCAUGAUGGAUGGGUGUUUAAAGUUGUCCUCUGGAUAUUAUAAGACUGUGCUAGCUGGCCUUUAUGUUUUUAGUUGACGAUAAGUCUGAUUAAGUUUUGCAAUCUUGUGUUGUACUUGUCAUGUUCUGCAAAAUGGUAAAAAUUGCCAGAUGGUUAGAAUGCUGGAUAUACUAGCCGAGUACUUGUUGCUCAGAGGAUUCCAAUUUCAGAGGCUUGAUGGUAGUACAAAGGCAGAGUUACGACAGCAAGCUAUGGAUCAUUUCAAUGCACCUGGAAGUGAUGAUUUCUGCUUCCUUCUUUCUACUCGGGCUGGUGGCCUUGGUAUAAACCUUGCAACUGCGGACACUGUUAUAAUAUUUGAUUCUGACUGGAAUCCCCAAAAUGACUUGCAGGUCUCAAACUUGAUAUUCUGUUUUCCCAAGCAUAAUUUUCUAUCUUAUGGUGAAAAUUUAGUAGCCUUGUUUAUGCUUACCGUUUUAUUUUGCUUCAGGCAAUGAGUAGAGCUCAUAGAAUUGGGCAACGUGAAGUUGUCAACAUUUACAGAUUUGUGACUAGCAAAAGUGUUGAGGAAGACAUCCUGGAGCGAGCUAAAAAGAAGAUGGUCAUUCACCUUAACCUGAUUGAAUUUGUUCAUAGAAUUGGAAAUUUCCACAUAUAAGUAUUCAUCAUGUGUUAGUGAAGAGAGCCUAACUUAAUUUUCUUGUUAGGCAUUUAAAGUGAGUAAUUUAAUGUGUUUUCUUGCUUGGUGCUUUCUACAGGUGCUUGACCAUUUGGUGAUCCAAAAAUUAAAUGCUGAGGGUAGAUUGGAGAGAAAAGAAACAAAGAAAGGGAGUCAUUUUGACAAGGUAAGGACUUGUCUUGAAGUAAUUAUUCAAGUAUGAAGGCUUAUAUGUUUUAUCUCUGGAUUUUGAUUGUUGGAAUUCACCAACAUGAUUGGCCUCUUCUUUCCUUAAUAUAUGCUCUUGCUAUUCAAGUUUUUAAUACUUUUUGAUCUUUAACGCAAUUCAAAUCUCUUUUACCAUUUCAGAAUGAGCUAUCAGCAAUUUUGAGAUUUGGGGCUGAAGAGUUGUUCAAGGAGGACAGAAAUGAUGAAGAAAGCAAAAAAAGGCUGUUAGGUAUGGAUAUAGAUGAAAUUCUUGAAAGGGCAGAGAAGGUUGAGGAGAAAGUGGGUGAGGAGGAAGGGAAUGAAUUGUUGAGUGCUUUUAAGGCAAGCAACUUAUGCUUUUUUACAGUGGACUUUUUUUGUAAUAGGUGUAUAGGUUCUUUCUUGUGUAACUGGUUUCUAUUUCUUCCAUCAAGCUCAGGUUGCUAAUUUCUGUAAUGCUGAAGAUGAUGGUACUUUCUGGAGUCGUUGGAUAAAACCAGAUGCUAUUGCACAAGCCGAGGUAUUAUCCUGAUAUUCUUUUAUCAAUCUUAUUCUAUGAAAAGUUUCUUGAAUGCCUACUUUUACAUUUUUAACUUUUAUGUUUGUUUCUGACAUUUAGUUGGAUCCAUUUAUUAUUUUUUUGCAUUAGGAUGCUCUGGCUCCUCGUGCUGCAAGGAAUACCAAGAGUUAUGCUGAGACAAGUCAACCUGAGAGAAGUAACAAAAGAAAGAAGAAGGGCUCUGAUUCUCAGGAGCUUCAGGAGAGAGUACAAAAGCACCGUAAAGCAGAAUACUCCGCUCCCUUGGCACCAAUGAUUGAGGGAGCAACUGCUCAAGUGAGAGGAUGGUCUUAUGGGAACCUGCCUAAAAGAGAUGCUCUGCGCUUUUCUCGAGCAGUAGGUUUCUUGGUCUUCUGGAAUUUGUCUGGCAUAUAAAACAUAUUUCUCUAUUCAUCGUAUUUCCUAUGCAAUCUUGCAACAUAUUACUGAUAUUGCUGCUAUCCACUAUCUGGAGACACGUUUUCCUUUUUUGGUUCAACUCUUUUACCAAAUAUCUACAUCCAACGUGGAUAUGUUCAAUUUUUCCUAGACUUUCAUAUAUUUGGAGAGUCCUCAGUAGAUCAUAUCUCCAUACCCAUGUCUGGAUAUCCAUCAUACACGAGUAUUUCUAGCAAGAUGGAGAGUUGGAGUAACAUAAGUACACAUUCUUACUCCAUCAGCCCGUUCCUCCUGAUUAGAAAUGUCAUGUUCUAUCCUUCUGCAUGUCUUCUUUAAUUUGUUGCAUUUGCCUCUUCAAUUAUUGUAGGUUCUGCUGACUGAUUUUAUGCGUUUUUGUUUUUGAAAUUUCCUUUUGCUCCAAAAAUCAGGUUAUGAAAUUUGGGAAUGAGAACCAAAUCACUUUGAUAGCAGAGGAAGUUGGUGGUGCUGUUGCAGCAGCUCCAAUUGAUGCACAGAUUGAGCUUUUCCAAGCUUUGGUUGAAGGAUGUAGAGAAGCAGUUGAAGUAGGAAAUGCAGAACCUAAGGUUUGUUCUAUCAGUUACAAAUGGUAUUUUGUUUUUUAAUUCUUCAUUGGCGUGCAUCAUCCAGUUAAAUUGUAGGCCCUUCUGUUAUUCUGUUCUUUUGUGUGGUAAUUACAUUCAGGGACCAUUAUUGGACUUCUUUGGCGUCCCUGUUAAGGCGAAUGAUCUGUUCAAUCGUGUCCAAGAACUUCAGUUGUUAGCAAAGCGAAUAAGUCGGUAUGAAGAUCCUAUAAGGCAGUUCCGUGUGUUGAUGUACCUUAAACCCUCUAAUUGGUCCAAGGGGUGCGGAUGGAAUCAGAGUAUGUAUAUCCCAUUUAUGCUUUUCUCUGUUCUGUGAAUUUAUUAAAUGAAAAUUGCUGUGGACUUAUCAUACCUUCUGUUAUUGCCAGCAGUUGAUGAUGCAAGAUUGCUUCUGGGAAUACACUACCAUGGAUUCGGAAAUUGGGAAAGGAUAAGAUUAGAUGAAAGGCUUGGCCUCACGAAGAAGAUUGCUCCUGCUGAACUUCAACACCAUGAAACCUUUCUGCCACGAGCCCCAAAUUUGAAGGAACGUGCUAAUGCACUUUUGGAAAUGGUACUCUUCCAAUUUCAAUAUAAGGGAGUGUAAUUCUUACUGCUUUGGCUAGAGUAGUUCUUACUGUAUUGAAAAAUGAAUUCAUUUAUUUUCUUAAUAUAUGUACUUUACACACGCUCACACACGCAUUUAUAUGUAUAUGUAUUUUCUGUUGUGUUUGCUACAGAUUCCUUCUUUUGAAAAUUUCUUGCUAUAUUUACUUGUAUGCAAAUAUUUUGUUUUUGGUAGAGAAUAACCAAACUGCUUUUUUCUUUGACCUCAUAAGUCAUAAUUGGUUUAUCUGUGUUACUUGAAUUCAGUGUUGGAUACAAGUAUGGGUUUGAUACGAGUAUGGUCUGUUUUUUAAAAGCUUUUCCAUGUAUUUUAAGGAUCAUUGGAGGGGCUUAUAUCCCCUUAUCUAUGUCCGGUGAUGCAUCAGAAAUGGGUACUUCAAGAAAAACAAAGAUUUGGAACAAAAUGGGUUUUUAUUACCAGUGAACCAAAUUAGUGGAAGCUUACAAAUUUUCUAUUGUGUGGUUGAUAUUUCUCUGAUUGUUUAAUGCACAUACAUCAGUGUUUCUUGCAUGCUGUUAUCCUAAGCUUUAAGCUUCUAUUUGUGCUAAUUGUCCAAUUUAAAUUGUCUGGUACUUUCUCCACAGGAAGUUGCUGCAAUCGGUGGUGGUAAGACUGCUAGUACCAAAGCUGGUCGAAAGGCUUCAAAGAAAGAAAAGCAGAAUACUCUUAAGGUAUCAAUAUCUCGUGGAAGAGAUACGAAGGGGAAACCGGGUUCUCCUAAAGUCGGUUUUAAAAUGAGUAGGGACAGUCAUAAGAGGCCUCAGAAAGUUGAACUAGUUAAAGAAGAGGGCGAAAUGUCUGACAAUGAGGGGGUAUAUGAGCACUUUAAAGAAGUGAAGUGGAUGGAGUGGUGUGAAGAUGUUAUGAUUGAUGAAAUAAAAACCCUUCGUCGUCUCCAAAGAUUGCAGACUACCAGUGCUGAUCUUCCCAAGGAUAAGGUUUGCCAAUCUUGUUUUAGAUUUCUUUGGUAUUUGUUAUUGGUUUUGUGAACUGAAGUUGCAUUGAAAAGUUCUACUUCCUUCCAGGUGCUUUCAAAAAUUCGGAAUUAUCUGCAGCUUCUUGGAAGGAAGAUAGAUGAAAUUGUCUUGGAACAUGAAGAUGAGCUCUAUAGACAAGAUAGUAUGUGGUUCUUCUUGCUGUUUAAUUGUGUUUUCUGUUUAUUAGUUUUAUCACGUUUUUGCAUAUGCAUUGGAUCUCUCAUAUGCGCAUUCACGAUUUUAAACAUUUAAAGAUUCUAGAUGUCUGAUAAGUCCAUUUAUUUUGAUUUCAAUUCACGUUGCAGGGAUGACUAUGCGCUUAUGGAACUAUGUCUCUACAUUCUCGAAUCUUUCUGGUGAGAGGCUGCAUCAGAUUUAUUCCAAACUUAAGCAGGAGCGGGAAGAAGAGGGAGGGGAUGGACCCUCCCGUAUCAAUGGUGCUAUACCUGGUCAUGUUGAUAGAGACGGUGACCCUAACUACCCCCCUUUCUCACAUUCUGUUGAGAAGCAAAGAGGGUACAAGAAUGCAGUGGCAUAUCAAACAUCACAACCAAUACACAAAGGCAUUGAUGCUGCAAAGUUUGAAGCUUGGAAACGACGGCGGAGAGCAGAAGGGGAUAUCCAUCCCCAACUCCAGCCCUCGGCUCAAAGACCUACGAACAAUGGUAUCCAAUUGGUAGAUCCAAACUCCUUGGGGAUUCUUGGGGCAGGACCAUCAGAUAAAUGUCUUGUUAAUAAUGAGAGACCGUAUCGGAUGCAUUAAACUGGAUUUCCACAAUGGCAAUGCUUGCCAUGGGGCAUCAACUACAGUAAGCUUUUUGUGCUGUGCUGGAUGAUACUUGAGCCUUUGAAUAUUGGGUGGGAUUCCUUUUUGGGCAUGGAAAUAAAAGUUGGUAUUUAAAGUUGAGUGUUUAUGGGUGGAUUUAAGGAGGUGUAUCCACCAGGCGGGAGUUGAAUCCAUGUAAAAAGUCAGCUGAGCUAAAAAAGGUUUUACUAACAUGUGCAGGGCAUGCCGGAGCGGCCUUUCCACAAUUUAUUCUUUUUACAGUUUCUUUUUGGUAGUGAAUCCAGUAAUUUGUUUAAUUGUAUAGCGCAAAAGUGGCAGGAGAAAAAAAAUUGAAAUGAAUAUGCAAGGAAAAAAGUGUACAUUAUCAUUUUUGAAUAUUUUUAUUUGACAACAUUCAAAUUUUGUUGGCAAUAAUAAUGGGUAUGAGUUUGCUUGCUUUUUUGUUUUACGUUGAGAGGCAGGGGUGGCGUUUUUUUGCUUUAUAAUAGUGGUUUCAGGAAAUUUGUACUUGCUUUACAAUAGAGUAUGUUAUGGUAUGAAUUUGCUUGCUUUAUCCCUUAUUCCCUCUAAUGCACUCGUUUGAGAAUCGAAACAGAAACUUGUGAUUGCCAACACAACCCAAAGCACUGUGAGAAGCUCUCUCCACACAAAAAGUCUUAUUGCAGAUUUUGAUUGGUACAAAAGAAGUGGUAAGAAGUUGGGAUUUUAAUUCUGGAGUCCCAUAUUAGAGACCGAUUCAAGUUCCUUGAGUUCUCCUCCUAUAUCAAACAUUAGAAACCAAUACAGUGAAUAAAGUAAUCAUAUUUAUAUUAGUGCUUCACUCUUACAACAUGUCUUUCUUUGAUGGUGAUGAAUCUUGUGGACUACGCUCGUGCUGUUUUAAAUAACUCCUCCCACUUUUCUGGAUCGGUUCCCGGACCUUCCCCCUGCCACGUAAAUUCAAUAUCUUCAUUUUGGCAAACCAACUUAUCAACCAAAAAUAUGCUUAAUAACUUCUAGUGAGAUUCUAAAAUGAUGUCAGUACCCUCAAACAAGGAAUUCACAUAACUCUACUCAUUUCUCAUCUUUCGAUAAUCACAAUUAGAUUACAGAUUCAAAUCGCACCAUGUUUCGGUUUUAGAAAAAAACCUAAAAUGUAAAUGAUUGCAUGUACGGAAUCCUACACCUGCUAUAACAAAUUGCAGUACUUACCUCAACUGAGUUGAUUUCGUAAAUUUUGCCUUCAGUAAAUUCUAUGUCCAUUGCUUGUAUGCAAGCUUCAGCAACCACAAGUCUGCUUACUUCUCCCACCAGAUUAUCUCCUGUGUCAUUUUCCCCCCCAAAAGUGAAUCAUAUAGACAGCUUAUAAUUUACUUAAUCAUAUGUAUAUGAAUCUGUCUCCAAAGCUUUUGCAUGACUUAAAAUGUCUUUAUGACUAGAAGAGCCGGUCAUAGCAAUUUCACUUGUCAAAUUUAUGUUGUUGGCAGUUACUAUCAAAUCUAUCAUCUUUUCAAUGGUGCAUAAAAACAGCAGUUGAGAUUAAAUUUACUUAAUCUCUAUCAUCUUUUCCAUGGUGCAUAAAAACAGCAGUUGAGAUUAAAUUUACUUAAUCAUUGCUAAUGGUGCAUAAAAAAACAAAAUGAAAAAAUAUAUCAUCUUUUCAAGCAAUCACCAACUUGGUAGGAGGAACAUCUAAAAUAGACACACACAAUGGGAAUGUGUGACACUGUGAAUUCAAGUUCAUUGCCUUGAAACCAUAGAGUAAAGCCAAGCUACUAUAUACCUGCAGUUGAGAUUAAUUUAUCAUAAAUGGAAAGCCAAAACUCGAACUCUAGAUUGCUAAUUCAUAGAGGAUUUCAUAACAUGUUAAAAGGACUACUCAACCUUGAAGCUAGAAAAAGUACAUUAGGGCCUGAAAUAAUAAUUUCUAUGAAAAUCAAAAGGUUAAAGAGUAAUAAUAUUUGUUUUAACAAAAACUGGAUCUAAGGAAAUAAUGCUGAGAAACCAAUCUAAUUUUUGGUCCAAACUGUAAUAGAUAUUUACAGUUUUUCCCCUUUUUGCUACAAAGGAGGCUGCACGCUAUAGAAUAUGAGAAGGGGUUGCCAAUGCUGGGAUUUGGACUCCGACUUUUUGUAUACCACCUCUUUAGGGGUGGCUGCAAGGCAUUUUUACAAUCUAACCUAGUGGGAACUCAAUUUCAACAUACCUUAAUCAAUCAGAACUUUUUAUUGUCUAUAAUUGCUGUUGAAAUACGUUUGACAACUUAAUACAUAACAGUUUUACUAUUUGCGCCACUGGAAAACCUGAUUCAACAUACCUUGACCAAUGACAACUGCACGGCGUUGUCCAGCAGUGGCUUUAAGCAAAGUGUUAAGAUCAUAUGAUGUGUAAGGUCCAUCUGUCAAUCUACCAGCUCUGUGCACAAAAGGGUAUUGUUUGGAGAAACAUUGAAGUACAUCAGCCAAAAGCAUACAGACGCACCAUUUCAUGCUAACAACAGAAAACAUUAUGAUUACGCACGUACCUGAUAAUGGUAAAUGGAAGGCCAGACUCACAAAGAAAAUCUUCCCCUUUCUUUUUAUAUUUUAGAACCCCAAAAAGGUUCAUAAUGCUGCAAAAAUUAAUGUAAAUGUAAAGUUGAUUAGAAGUAGCUGCAAACCAACAUCCCUCAGAUAUUUUGUAGCAAAAACCAGUAUUAAUAGCUGCACAGCAAGAGCGCCACAUUCAAUGGUACUAAAAUUAAGUUCAAUCAUAUCAUAAUUGUGAUUAUUAUAUAUUACUCCUGCAUUCCUUUUUCUUUUUCUCUCCCUUUUUCUUGGAUGGGGAUGGCGAGGGGAGGGGAAGGCAUGAAGCUCUUUCACAAAAAUCAUUCAUACAGUAGAAAUAAUAAUGGAAUUGAAGUUUAAAGCCAAAAGAAAACAGACCAUUAGUGAACAAAAAACAUGUAAUGGCAUUCACUGUUUGACCAUUUGAUUGCUAAUCAAGACACAAUAGCAGUAUGAUACCGAUUGCUAACUAUGUGCGUCAGGUUUUGAUGAAUGGGCAGAAAAUUAGUUUCUGGCUCACUGAGCAUAACAUGCUCCGAGUCCGUGUUCAAAUUGGUUGCAACAAAAGUUCAGAAUUUACAAGACAAGAGUGCAAAUUAUCUACGAAAGAAAGCAUACUCAAUGAUGUGGUAGAACUUGGUAUUGAUCCCUAGUUGAUGAGGCUGCAAGUUCAAUUUUCCAAUAUAGAGGCCUUAAAUAACAUGAUUGAACUAAGAGAUGAUAUUUCACAAUUUUUUCAGCAUGGAAUCCGACAUGAUAUCUCUCUGUUUCACUGAAUUAGAAGUCCAUUUCUUAUAAUACAGAUGGAAAGAAGAAAUAUUCUGGCUGUCAGUAGAAGUCAUAACACUAGCAGAGAGACAGAGGCAAGUCAUCACAAACUCCAUAAUUGACUAUCCAAAAAAUUUUCCAAAUACUUAUUCUUCUCACCUCCAUGGUAGUUCAUUGAACUUGGUUACACCAACUGAUGAAACAAGAACUACUCUCUUCAAUGAUGAAGGCAAUGCAGAUACAAGAUUCCUUACACCCUCCCAAUCUUCAAAAAUAAUACAAAAUAGUCAAAAUCUGUGUCUCUGUGCACGUGUACAUUUAUGCAUCAGUUCAUGUGGAGAGAGAGACAUGAUUGGAAGCUUGGAGGAAAACAUUUUACGUUAUUGAUAGAGCAAUAUCUGAUAAUUUUAAUGACUUUAAGAUUAAAAAAACAGUUUAAAAUUUAUUUGCACAAAAUCAUCGCAUAAUAUAUUUAUUUUUCUAGUAAUUUGCAAAAUAAAGAAAUCAUCAUGCACGAAUUUUUUUUACAUAAAGUAACUUAAAAGGUAAGUGCCAAAUGAAAAGUACAUUUCUUCUUGUACACAAUAACUAAUACAUGCCUCCUUAAUAAAAAGAGAGUUGGAUUCUAAACUUUUUACAUUUAAUAAAUUCAAAUAUAUUAAUAAUUAAGUAAAUUGGCAAAAGUAUUAACCUAUGAGAGGCCAGACUAAAAAAUUUGAUGAAAAAACUUAGGAAAAGUUAGGUCAUAAGUUUGGAAAGGCUAGGAGUGGUCAUGGGCUCCCUAGACCCCGUUAGCUCCAUCCUUAUCCAUGUGCACGUAAACGCACAUGACAUUAUAGAUGCACUAAAGUCAUAGAUAUCAAUAUUGAAAUGACCAAAGCUUGUUCAUCAACAAUUCCAAGUAAAGAGAAUGAACAAGUUAAUGCUAAGUAGUAUGUAUUUAUCAUUACAAAGCAUGCAAUAUUCCAUGGAAAAUGCCAAAGUAGAUGUUGAUAACAGUAUCCAUUAAUUUUCUUUUGUAUAUUCAAGCAGUUUCUGACCUACUCUUUCAGGCGUAUUAUCUCCAUCCCAUCUCUUGGAAGGAAAUGCAGUUGUUCCAGUGCAACAAAUCACAUGUGUAACCCCCUGUACAAAAAAUGUGAAAGAUUAAUACAAAGAUCACAUGUGAAAGAUUAAUUCUGAACUGUUAGAGGUACUAAUGCAACCCAAGAACGGUCAUUUAUCUAGAAAAUAAAAGGAAAAGUUUAAGGUCAGAUAAAUAAGAAGCACAAACCUCAAAUAUAGAUGGAUAUAGAUCUGCUGGGUUUCGAGUGUCCCCUUUAACAACCUAUCAAAUUUUCAAAAAUAUUUUUUUAGAAUAAAUUUAAUAUCCUGAAUAAAGAGAGAAGAAUUUUAAAAGAGAGAAUGCUGUUUACUACAUAAAAUCAAGGAUAUUUUAAGAAACAUAAUCAAUGGGCAUGGUUGAUUCAUUCAUCAGAUGAAAUUCCACCUGUAGCUUCUCUUCAUCUUGGUUACCAAACAGAGAAAUUGCUUUCUCAGGAUCUCUUAAUAGUAGGCGUGAUUUGAUGUUCCGAUUCAGCAAAGAUGCCACUACCAACUGCCCUGAAAAGAAGAGAAAAUUGUUGAUAUUAUGAAAAACAUGUAAAGUUUGACACCGACCACAAGUAAAAUUUAACCAUUCAGUCACUUUGCUCGUGAGUGCACUAAGCCGAAGAAGAAUUAAUCCGUACAUGGUUACGUAUGUUUGUUUUCAUGUUUACCUUUUUCUCUUUGGUUCCGCUUAGAUACAAGACCAAUAAAAUACUUCCAAGUCACUGUCAAGUAGAAUUUGUAAAUGACCUAGAUGAGACUAUAUGUUUUACUCAAAGAGGGAGACCUUCUGCAUCUCCAAAUUUCUUCAACAGAAUGAUUAACUCAAGACUCUUAGGUUAUCCGAUACUAUAGCAUCUAAGACAAGAUUCACAUGUAAGAAUGUAUUGUAUGUGCUUUGGCAUUGUUGAGGAAGUUAUUGGAUCCCUGCUUCAUCAGUAACGAGCAGUGUAGAUCUCGCAUCUGCACCGUACCCUUUGUGAGUUUGAACUAUGUCACAAAAUGGAACUUGCUGUUGCUACUUUAACAUUUACCUAAAGCUCACAAUUAACUCGACUUCUAAAAGCGUGAUUACUUACAGCAUAAUUAAACAGGGAUAAGUUAAAAACAACUGAUACCACAUUGAUAUCAUUGUAUGAGAAGUAUGUUGAACUAAUUUUUAUAUAAAAGGGAAAAAAGAAGAAGAAGCUAUAUGACAUUAUUAUAGAUUAUGGAUCGUGGGAUAACCAAUACAUCUAUAAUGUAACUGAAACAAGAGUUUUAAACCUGUUAUCAGUCAAUGUGCACCGGUGAAAUGAUUUAAAUUUAUGCAUGUUUACCAGAAAAAGAAAAGCUAUUUGGGAUAUGCUUAAUUGAUUAUGGAAUGUGGAACAAUAUCAAUUUGUGUUAUACAUUGGCGUAUAGAAGGGAUUAAAGUUCUUUUGUUGAAUACGGUGCAAUGAUACCAAUUAGAAACAUGGUAACAUGAAAUAUGGAAAACUUUGUUGAUAUUGUGAAUAACAAGUAUACGGAAAUAUGGUAACAUGAAAUACGGUACAAGGAAUGAUAUCAUGAAAUAUGGAAAUAUGAUAACAUAUCUGAUUAUGUAUGGAAAUACACGCAUCUCCUCAUGUCAUUCCUUGUAUGGUAACAUAAAAUAUGGUAAUAAAGAAAAGCAUAAUGUCAAAUUUAGCCCUAAAUGUUUACACCUUUUGUCAUUUUGGCCCUUAUUCUUUUUUGAGCUAAAAUUUGACCCUCAACCUUUUAAAAAGAGCCUUUUAGUACUCAAACAUGCAGUCAAGACAAGUUUCAGUCUUAGUACUCAAAUUAAAUGGCCUUUAAGAUUUUGAUUAAAUUUUUAAUUUUAGAACAUUUAUAUAGUAAUAUAUUUCAAACAAAACGUAUGAUAUGUUUGAAACAGUAAUUAGCCUACUUAACCAGAGCUAUGCAAAAGUAAUUUUCAGAACAUCUGAAACUCAUGUAUGCCAAUCAAAACUAAAUCAAGCUUGAGCUUCUAUCAUGUUUUGCAGUUGAAUUGAGCUCAAACUUUCUGCUAUAUCGACUAACUCGACUUAUCUCUUAUAUAUGACAGAAAUCAGGAAAAAAGAAUCGCCCAAAAAUAUAUCAUUAACUGUAUUAUGUUAUCUUAUAUAGAAGAAGUACGUUAGAAUUGGUAUUAAGUGUAAAAAAAAGUAAAUACUACAAAGAAAUUCACUAAUUGGUAAAACAGGAAAAAAAAAUAACUAAUAAAGUGCAGAAAGCAAAACUAGAGUACUUAAGGUGAGUGACAGAUAGUCGACACCAAUAUUGGCAAUUUUGUUUUCAAAUUAGUCUGUAUAUAUUUGGAAGAUUAUAGCCUAAAUUCUUGUCUAAAUAUGUGACAAAUGAAAAGCAGGAGCAACCACCCAAGUACUUGUUAGUUCAACUUAAGGGGAAUUAAAAAAAAAAUACUACGGAUACUUUCUAAACAUUAAACUAGGCCAAAUGCACAGUUCAAUCAAUACAUUUACAAGUAACAGCUCCAAAUAAGCAAAUACAGUAGAAUUAUACAAAUGCAAAAAAUAAAGGGAAAAAGAAAAGGAGGUGCUCACCGACGCCACCGGUGGCGCCUACGACAAGAACAAGCUUAGAGGAAGAAGGAGGAAUUGUUUGGGAAAGAAGGGUAGUUUCUGAAUUUGAAGACUGAAUUGCUUCAUCUUGCACAGCAUUCACUUUCAUCGAUAAUUGUCCUCUAAAGCCUGAGUUGUUCUUGGAGAAUCCAUACCCAUUACAACAAUUUAGCUGUGGAACUGCCGGUUUUGAUUUUCUUGGUUUUGGGGAUUUCUCUACAGGGAAUCGGAAUGUCAAGGAGAGCUUGGUAGCCAUGAAAAUAUUUUUUUUAAUUAAAAAAAAGAAGAAAAAGAAAAGAAAAGCAGAGGAGCCGUUUGUUUGUGGUGGUUAUAUUUCCCGCUGGUUUAAUAAAAUGUCCGCCAUAUUAUACUUGGAAAAUUCUACAACAGCUACGGCACUAACCCAAAUUUAGAAUGGUUUGUAUUUUGGUUACUCAAUUAUUAAUUUUUUUGAUUUAGUCAUUAAAUUUUUCGAAAUUAAUUUUAGUUACUGUAGUAGUUGUCAUUAGAUGAGUGACGGGAAGCUGAUGUGGGUUUUUUUAUUGGUCUAAUAAUAAAUUUAGCCUUCUAAUAUUUACACAUUUUAUUAAUUUGACUCUAAAUAUAAAAAAAAUCAACAAUUUAGCUUCCAAUGCUUAUAAAAUUUGUCAUUUUAGUUUAAAUUCUAAAUAAUCUAAUAAAAUUAACCCUCAACAACUAUAAAAUGAUAAAUUUUGAUUUUAAAAAUUUAUAAAAAUUCAAUAACUUAAUUACCUUACCAUUACUCACUCAAACAUUUCCUUUGCAUUGAGUAUGGUAAGUCAAUUCCUUUAAAAUCCACGUGAUAGUUACCGGAUGUAGUAAUACGUAUUCCUAGAUACAUCAAAGGUGCUCUUGGGCAAAGUCUACCAUGUGAAGAUCAUACAACUAGACAAAUUAUUGGAUAUUCAGAUGUUGAUUGUGUAGGAUUUCUCUCAAAUAAACGAUCCACUUCAAGGUACUGUGCUCUCUUUGGGGGUCAUCUAAUUUCAUGGCAGAGUAGAAAGUAAGAUGUUGCAGCAAGAUCAAGUGCAAAAGCAGAAUAUCGAGUGAUGGUCUUAGUUACUUGUCAACUUAUUUGGCUAAGACAAUUGCUUCAAGGAAUCUGACGAAGUUAAUAUGCGAUAAUCAAGCAGCCUUAAAUUCGAUGUUUCAUGAAAGAACAAAAUACAUAGAGAUUGGUUGUCAUUUUAUAGGGCCAAAGAUUUAGUCCGGAUGCAUUGUCACUAAUUUUUUCAAUUCAAAUUAUAUCAAUUAUCAGAUAUUUUAACUAAGGAUAUAAAAAACCUCAGAUUGAAUAUAUACAUAAAACAAGUUAUUAGCCUAUUGACUUGUAUGCUGUAACUUAAGGAAAGUGUUGUGAUAGAAAAACUAGAGACAGAUUGUGUAGUGAUUUUAGGGAUUGAUAGACAUGAAAUUAGGGUGUAAAAUGAGGUGUAGAAUCUGUGUAGUCUUAGUCUUUCCUCUUUUGUACAAGUAACUACUCUUCAUGCUUGAGGUAUUGAAUCAAGCUGAAUUUUUAUUUCUUACGUUGUUAAGCCCAAACAACAACUAGUUUCUCUUCUUUCUUCUCCUAAAACAACAACCAUUCUCUCUCAUUCUUUUCUUUAAUUUUUUCAGGUGUUUGUUUAGACUUACGUCAAGUCUUGCAUGUCAUUAUGUUGGUUGUGGUCACGGAAGCCUAAACAUUUUUUCUCUUCAAAUGUGUAGCAAAAUGAAAAGCAAAAUAGAAAUUGUACUGAACUAUGGAUUCAAAUUGAAAAUUUAAAGAAAAAUGGUACAAAUGCCUCGAAUUUAAAAUAUGUUAGUUUUGCUUUGUAAGUGAUUAGCCUUCAAAUUGGAGAGAAAAUGAGUUACGAGGGAAAGGUGAAGUGAAAAUGAAUUGAGUGCUUCUUUUGGGAAAGAUGGGAAAUGACUUGAAGUGUUCAAUCAAUCUUAUGGGCAGUGAUGAAUUCUGGAAUUAAGUUUUGGGAGGGGGUUAGUGUUAUAAUUGUAAAAUAAAUCUAAAAUAAAACUUAAUAAACAGGAUCUAUCAUGUCAAAUCAUCAAGAACAAAAUUAGAUGAAUUCCUUAAAUCUACGGAUCUUGGGGAUUUGAUCUUCUAAAUAUUUGCUCUCUCUUUCCCAAGGAUUGGAUAUUAGAAAAGAUACAUGUAUGUAAUUUGGAGACCAUAACCCUACUAUUUAUAACAUUGGCAUAUUAGUUCUAACUCCUAAUUAGCCCAUCAUUAAUUAGAAUUUGAUCAGAACUCAAUUACUAGAAUAUCUACAUAUAUUUGACCCAUACUUUAUUUAAUAAUUAAAGCCUAAUAAAAUUUUAACCAAAUUAGAUCACUUUUAAUUUGGGUUAACCUAUCAUGAUAGUAAAUAAUAACAUGUAAUUACCCUUAUUAUAUAUGUGAUGUCCAUAUUUUCCAACAACCUCCCACUUAGACCACAUAUAUUUACUAAUUACUCUAUAAUUACAUGUCAUUAUAUAACCUUAUGAGCUCAAGAUUUUACUAUCAUAUCCAAAAGGUAUUCCGAACAAUCUCGUCCAUUAAUUAUGUUAACAUAGAACCAAGACGACUUUCAUUACAUAUAUCGUAACUAAAUCCAUCCCUAAUCACGUAUAUUAACACAACCAAAUGACAUAGAUCAAGUAUGGAUGUAUAGCAUGGAAAUUACAUGCAAUAUGAUCUAACAUGUCUAUUUCCAACUGGUCUUUCUUAAACCUUAGUGAGAUCAAACCUUACCAAAAUUAGAGUGUGAAUAAACCAAAUAAAUUUUAUUUCUGCAGAAAAUAAACUUAGUAUCCAUAAACUGAAAUAACUAAAAAUGUGUCUAUAACAUAAAAGCAUUUAAAAGUACAAACUCCCACAAAAUCAAAUAUUCUUAAAUGACAUUACACUCAUAUGAGCAAUGUGCUCUUAUAAAACCUUAAGUGUAGUCCCUUAGUAAAUGGAUCCGCAAUUAUGGAGUUUGUCCUAAUAUGCUUUAUAGGCACCUAACCACUCUGAACUUUUACUUUAACAACUAGGAACUUAAAGUCUAUGUGUUUUAACUUUGAUGUGCUCCUGUUGCUAUUGUAAUAAAAGACUGCAAUUUGUUUUCACAAUAUGCACCUUAGUGACAAAAUCUUGUAUUCAUAUUCCAUCAAAAUCAAAGUCUGUAUACCUGAUGAUCUCUAACUGAUUAGACCUCCGAUAUGUGAGCAUGUAAUAUUCUGUUCUCUAAAAAUACCUUAUAACCCUCUUGGAUGCUAUCUAAUGGUCCAAACCAGGGUUGUUUAAAAUAUCUGCCUAACAUCCCAACAGUGUACGUAAUAUUCCAAUGUAUACAAACCUGAACAUACAUUAGACUUCCCACUACUAAAAUGUAAAAAAUCUUAUGCAUUUUUGUAAUCUCAAAAUCUUAGGGCAUUGAUUGAGACUAUACUUAUUAUUGACAAGCAAUAUGUCAUUAACAUAUAAAACCAAAUAUAGAACCUUACUCCCACUAAACUUAUGGUAUAUAAAAUUAUCGAAAAAAUUCAUCUCUAAACCGAAUGAGAUAAUCAUUUGGUAAAAUUUGUAAUAUUAUUGAUGAGAAGUACGUUUAAACUCAUAGAUGAAGUUCUUUAAUUUGCAAAUAAUUAACUUUGCAUCAUCAGACACAAAGUUUUCUAGUUGCACCAUAUAAAUGCAUGAUCAAUGUUACCAUUGAGAAACCAUUAACUUAAUAUUUAUCUAAUGCAGUAAGGUCAAAAUAUUCCACUAAAGUCAUUAUAACCUUUCCACUAGUGGACCUUUUUAAUGACAUUCAUUCUUGAGGUUGUUGAGUUUGUCUUUUGGAACAAUUAUCUAAUCUUGAAAAGGGAGUUGUUCAACAUUGUCUUAUUGAGGUUUUAGAUUCACUUCUUAAUCAAUGAUAGGUAUGGGAACCUAAACAUCAUCAAAAGUGAUAGUAGGAAUUGAGUUAGAAUUCAAUUCCUCCUUAAAAGCAAUGUCUCUAACCUUAUUUCUCCCUCUAAACUCAACAUCCUAAAAGAAUGUUGCAAUUCUCGUCUCAAAAAUAUUCCUAAUUGUGGGAUCAUAAAACUCAUAUCCCUUAGAUCACUCAGAAUUUCCUUGACCCUUAUACUUUAUAGACAUCAAAGAAGUCAGAAAUUAUGUCAUUUCAACCUUAUCGUUUUUAGCAAAACAUUUCUCAAUUUCAUCAAGGAAACCUUGGCCUGAGUAAUCAUUUCAGAUUUUGUGCCCCUAAAGCCUUCUAAAAUGUUGUCCUUCAUGAUCAUUAGACUCAUGCAAUUUGAACGAUCCCACCUCUCAAAAUCUCUUUUAACAUAAGGGGUGUUUUCGGCAGUGAGAGGUGCGAGUUGUUUUUCCCUUAGUGCAAUGUCUAUGUUCAUACAACCAAGCACUAUAAGUAAAUGCCUUUUUCGUUCAUUGAAAUUAGUCCCAUUAAGUAUGGGUAUAGAAUUUAUAUUAGCAUAUAUUAUGGUAGUAGAAGAUGAAUUAGCUGAAUAUAAAACAAAUAAAAAUAAAAAUAAGCUCACAUCAAUAUUCAUAAGUAAACAAUAAAUUCAGGAUAAUGGCUAAUCUCAUAUCAAGAUACCAAACACAACAUUAAUAUCAAGUCUUUGGACAAUAAUAUUAACAGUAAGCAAAACUCUUGUUGUAACAAUCAAACAUUGACAAUAAAUUAUGUCAAAUAAUGAAUUAAUCUUUGGACUAACAUAUUGCUCACAUAAAGCACCUUAUAAUUGUCACACAUUUAUCACCACAGAUGUCGUUGAAAUUCUGUCAAAUAUUAACUUACCUUUGGGUCAAUUAAUAAAUGCAUGAAUCACAAAAACAUAUAAUCAUAUUGAUAUUUUAAAUAAACUAAUCUACACAAAAGAUAUCACUUUGGCGGCAUUUUGUUUCAACUAAUCUAUUUAAAAUAUUAGACAUCCUUAAUUAAAACCUAAAGCCAAAAUCUGAAUUUAUUUGUUUCAAAAUAUUUCUUUUAAUUUCAUCUUUCAAUAAAAUUAAAAGAUAAUAAUAUAUAUAUGCAUAUAUAUAUUUAUCCCAAAACAACAUACAAUGAUGUUGGCAAAUAUAAUAAUAGUUGAAUAAAUCAUAAACCAUAAAUAAUCUCACAUAAGACUUCAAAUAAACCAAAAUAAUUUGAAUAAAGGUAAACCUCAUAUCAAGAUAUCGGGCACUCUAUUAGUAUUUUAUCUUUGGACAAAAUAUUAACUUGUAAGUGAUAUAUUGGUGUAAUAAUCAAAUAUUGACAGUAAGAACAUGUCGAACCAUAAAUCUUCUUUUGGGCCAAUUUAUUGCUUACAUGUAAAACCGAAUAAUUGUCACAUGUUUAUUACCAUAAUUGCACAUGAAAUAUUAUUAACCUUCAUUUGGGCCGAUCAAUAUUAACAUAACUUAAGUUACACGCACACAACCUUUUAUAUUUUAAAACAAAAUAAAUUUUAUACAAAAAAAAUCACUUUGGUGACUUAUUGCUUCAAUUAAGUUAUUUAAAAAAUAUAUAUAAACAUAGAAAUAUUCAAAUUUAAAAUUUACCCAAUAGUCAAAUGUCAAAACUAUUUUUUUAUUGCUUUAUAAACUCCGAAAUAACCCAAAAUAAGGUUGUCUUAAUAAUACAAUAAAAAACCGAAAAUUUUAAUCUUUGAUUGAUUUUUUUGUUGUUCCAAAAUCACAUAUAACAAAACCAAACAGAAAUAAUGUACUGGUUUAAAGCCAAAUAAUUAACAAGCACAUUUAUUCAUAAUUUUGGCAUGGACAAAAACACCAAAGCAAUUCACGCAUAUACAUGUAUCCAUAAUCAAAUAGAAAAAAAUUACCUUAAAUUUACCAUCUAAAUCAAAAGUUGUAUUUAUGAUUAAACAGAUAUUCACAUGAAUACUUGAAAAAUAUUUUCAAGCGAAUAAAUCUAAAAAAAAAUCAUAAUAGUUGGCAUAUCCCACAAUUCAUACAAUAAACCAUAUCAUCAUAAUUUAACCAAAUAUUUGGAACCAUAAGAUGCCAAAACCUAAGAUUAUUGAACCAAACUUAAAACCAAAAUAUUUAAAUAUGCAUAUAGUUGACAUGAAUUUGCACCAAAGCACCCAUAAAAUUGAAUAUAUAACCAUAACAAAAAAAAAACAACUUCAACGAUAUCCAUCAAAACUUAAUUUUACCAAUUAAACUAUAAAAGAUGUUUUAUUGAAUAAUGGUUAUAAACACCUAUUCACAUAAACUAUAAUAAUGCAUUAGUCCUCAAAAUCAUUAAUAUGCAUAUAAUAUAUAUACACACAUAAUAUACACACAAUUAUAAUAAUAUAAAAAUAAUACUGGCUUGCCUUACAUAUUUCAUAUAAACUCGAAUUUCUAUUCAUGACUAAAGACAUUAUCAUAAAACUUCUUUAUACGUACAAAUAUUUUUAAAGAAAAUCCAUAACCACUAAAUAUAAAAAGAAUCCAAAAUUAUAUAAAAGCCUUUAUAUGCGCAACUACUUAUGAAAAUUCAUACCCACCAUAUUUAAAAAAUAAAUCCCAAAUAUUUUAAUUUUAGUCAGGUUCCAUAAGGAAUAAAACUUAUAUAAAAUAAUUAUAACAGAAACCAAAAAUAAUCAUCCGUAUAUAUGAAUUGAACUAAAUGGUGAAUAUAAUUCAUUAUGAAUAAAGACGAUGAUAAUUCCAUAUACAUUCAACCACAAACAGAAAAUUUAAAACAGAUAGUGCGAAAAAAAAAUAUCUUACCAACAUUCAUUUAUUCGAUUAUUAAGUGAAUUAACUUUCAAAACCAAUUAUACAACCCAAUUGAAAUUCUUCAAUCGCAAAAAGUUGUAAGUUUGUAACUUUAAUUUAAUAAUGACUUUAACAAAAAUUUAUAAAAUAAUUGUGUGAAAAGAAGAGAAAGAAAUCUCACAAAUCAAUUUUUAUCAAUUGAUUAUAAAUAAAUAAACAUUCAUCUUUCGAAUAGCAUAUGCAAAUAUUAAACUAGAUUAUAUUUAUAAAACCCUAAAACUUUAUUUAAAAAAUCAAAACCCAAAAAUUUAUCAGGAAUCUCAAAGAUUCAACAUAAUAUAUAAUUAAAAUAUCAAAUCCAUAGAAUUAAAAAAGAAAAAACGAAUCAAUUCAUUCUCAAUAAUUCAACAUGACAAAACUCGGAUGCCACUUGUUAUAAUUGUAUAAUAAAUCUAAAAUAAAACUUAAUAAACAGGAUCUAUCAUGUCAAAUCGUUAAGAAUAAAUCAAGAACAAAAUUAGAUGCAUGAGCGUACCUGAAUCCAUGAAUUCCUUAAAUCGACGAAUCUUGGGAAUUUGAUCUUCUAAAUAUUUGCUCUCUCUUUCCCAAGGAUUGGAUAUUAGAAAAGAUACAUUGUAUGUAAUUUGGGGCCCAUAACCCUACUAUUUAUAACAUUGGCAUAUUAAUUCUAAUUCCUAAUUAGCCCAUCAUUAAUUAGAAUUUGAUUAGAACUCAAUUACUAGAGUAUCUACACAUAUUUGACCCAUACUUUAUUUAAUAAUUAAAGCCUAAUAAAAUUUUAACCAAAUUAGAUCACUUUUAAUUUGGGCUAACCUAUUAUGAUAGUAAAUAAUAACAUGUAAUUACCCUUAUUAUAUAUGUGAUGUCCAUAUUUUUCAACAGUUAGUAUAUUUUUCAAAAUUUUUAAGAGUUCAAUGACAACUUUUUUUUUAAAGAUUAAUGAGAAAUGAAAUUUUUUAAAAAUUAAUUUGAGAUCCAUAUUCUAAAAAGUUCAAAGGAAAACUCAUAAUUUCUGAAAGUUUUGAGAGUCAAAGCCCCCUAAACCUUUUAAACAGUCUGUCAUUUCUUACGGGUAACUAAGUGAUUAGGUUAGAUAUUUUUAAAUUUCUUUUAUCAUAGCUUAACCCGAGCCUUAUAUCAUAAUUAAGUUAAUAAGACCUAAUGACCCUAGGCAUUAAUUCAAAAUCAGAAAGGUAUAGACCCGACAAACUAUCAAACAUAUCAACUGUUGACUCCAUUAAUUGUUGGAACAUUUUUAAAAUAUAUAUAGUGGUUUAAGUUUGCAAAUAAAAAGUUAUAAGUAUUCAAAAGUUAUAUCAUUUUGUUAUUAACCAUAAGUUGUCACUAUUUAUAGUGAUGAGUUUUGUCUCUUAAAUUCAAAAGUUAUGUUACUUGAUUAUUAACAAUUAACCAUAAUUAUUCAAUAAAUAUCCCUAUGGAGAGACAUGAUACCUCCUAUAAAUAGAAGUGAAAUUUCAUUUAUAUGACGUACCUAAAAACAUAGAAACAAAGUUUAUUUCUAUUUCUCCUAUCAUCUUUUAUAUUCUUAGAUUGUUGUAUAAAGAAUUGUUGCAGAAAUUCUUUAUAGAAAUUGAUAUCAUUGCUAUACUCCGCUCAGUGCUCAAUGCACUGUUUCCGUCAAUGCAGAACGCAAAUAGUCAUCGGGCUUCAUUGUAUCCUCGAGGUUUAUUUACUUGAAACUUAUUUGCACACCAAGUGUAAGUGGGAGUGAAUAGAACCUUAAAGAUAGUGGCUUGAUACACACCUUGUAGCAUUGUCCUAUUGCUUCGUUUUUUUUUUGUUCGAGUUAUUGUUCGUAUUCUGUUUGUCUGUUGAAAGAUCAUGGACAUACAAGAACUUAAGCAUUCAUAGCCCUAACUCUGAAUAUGGUUGAACUAUGAUUAUUUCAUCUGAGUCACUUUAGCACUAUUGUAGUAAUUUUAGUUCAUUGAUGAACUUUUAAUUAAUUGAGGCUUUACGUUAAAUUAAAUGAUUCUAGACGAAAAAAAGUCAUGUAUUAAGGGUCGUUUUUAUUUGUAUGUGGUGUGUUUAGUGAUUUUUCUUGAAGACAAGCUAAAGGGUAAGUGUAGUAUAGUUAAUAAGUGUAUAUUUGUGACAUAUUUUUAGGUGUUUUACGCUUAGUUUUUGCUUCUUUUAAAGUGAGAUUACUUAGGUUUGGUGUCAAUUUGGUGUUUUGUUUCAUUUGGUUUUAUGAUAAUUUAAAAAUAUGCAUUUUGGUCUAAUUUUUAGCUUAAAUAAAUGUCGUUAAAUAGGUUUUUCUCCUAUUUGAAAUCAUGGCUGGUGGACAACAUGGAGAAUAAAUUUGGCUUUUGGUUUGAGGACUCUUUGAAUGGGAAAUAAUAUUUGCAAUUGUAUGUUGGAGCGUCCAGAAGGCUCGCAAUAAUUUCGUGUUUAAUCAAGAGGCAAUUGGUUUAGACUGGCCUUGGGCAAAAAGCAUCAGAAAGGCAGUUGUGUACGCAUCUAAAAGGUUUAGAUGUGAAGCUAACAAUGAGGGGUAGCAACCGCCGCCUUGCAGGUGGGUUAAGGUGAAUGUAGAUGGGGUAUAGCAGGAGUAACUUAAGAGCGUCUGCGAAGGGGUGUCGUUUAAGACUGCCGAGGGAACUGGAUGGUUGGUUACUGCAGGGAUGUGGGAAUUUGCGGCGUAUUGCAAGCUGAAUUUUGAGCCAUUCUUGAUGGAUUAUUGUCAUUGUGUGCUCGUGAGCCUAACAGUGCCACAGCAGUAGACGUCCUUAAUGACUGGGAGCAUGAAUUGAGAAAACUUUCCUAGGCGCGAUGCAUUAUCGAAGUUUAUUGAACUUUCCUAGGAGGUGUGGUUGCAGUGCAUUCAAAGAGAUGCUAAUGUAGUUUCUGAUUUUGUUACAAAGCAGGGAAUGAACUCGGUCCUGGAUAGACAUGCUUGGAUGGUUAAUUGUGAUGUUUACUGGUGGUAUGAAGUAGGAAAUGCUUUAAUUUGAGGAAUUAUGUAAUCGUUUGUGUUAGAUCAAUGAGUUUAUAAAAUGUAUCCAAAUAGCUUAGCAGCACUGCGAUUGGGUAAUCUGAAAUCCAAAGAAACCUUUGGAUAUAUUUUCAGACCCAAUUAUGUGUGGAAUAUUAGAUAUAGCCCAUGUCCUAUUGCAUAUUCAAAAGAAUCAUACUUCCCUACUCGUAUAUUUCAGACAUGGAGAAACAAAGGUGCUUUCUGAUAAAUUGAACUUUAGUGAUGUUGAUGCACAUGCAACGCUCAAACUGCAUGGAUCCAUAUCUAGUUGCACUUUGUUGUCAUGUCAAAAUAUCUUCUUUUCCAUCUCAUUUGAUCUCAUUCAUUGUUUCAUAAAAUUUUCAAAAAGAUGUGUUGAAGAAAGGCGCAGGAGAAGAUUGUGUUGUCAAAUGAAUUGAAUGCCAAUCAAACUUUCUUCAUUCUUCAAUCAUAUUGCCGACCAGACCGUAGACAGAUUUGAAGUCUACAACUGUGGAAAACACAACAACUUUCCUCAUACCUUUGAUGCCGACACACUCAAAUGGGGCAACCUUAAACACAUGUUUAUGAGUUGGAGCCACCCUUUUUUCUUAUAGGCGGACGGUGGUGUUUGCUUUUAUCUUUCUGCUACUGCACUCUUCCGGGUUUAGGGUACGGUUUAGUCCAUCAAUCUUUAACAGUUGAUGCCAUUUUAUAAACUCCAACCCUCAAACUUUAAAAAUAACAUUAAUAAAAAAAUAACUAUGGGCUCUAAAUAUAAACAAUAAAAUAGGCAUCACUAUACAAAGGAAAUGCAUUAAUUACUUAAAAUUUUUCGGGUUAAAAUAUAUGUUCAAUCACAUUAGUAUUCACCCAAUUAUGACAACUAUGAUUUUUUUCUUUUUUUGAUUAUCCAACUAUAACAAAAUAUUCACUAAACUAUUCAAUUGUCUUUUUUGGAUUUUUUAGUACUUCUAAUUUUAUGUUUGUCAACUAGUAAAAAACAAAACAUAAUUGAAUAGGUUAGUGACCAUCUUGUAAUUAUUCAUAGUUGAAUGACAAAAAAAAAAUCAUAGUUGGGUGUAGAGGUGUUCAUGGGUCAAGUUGAGUUCGGGUUGGGCUCAACCAAAAUCUUAAACCCAUUUGCUAUGCCCGGGCCCAAAAAAUGAGCCUAAAAUUUUGUCCAAAUUUGUCCCUGAUAAAAAUGUUAAAACUUGGGCACGACCCGCCAGUAUUAAUUUUUAUAUAAUAUUUAAAUAUAUAUAAUACAUCAAAAAUACUAAAAACAUUAAAAUAAAUAUUUCCCAACAAAUUGGAAAUAAAUUUAAAAAAAAUAUGUAUACUUAAAUAGCCUCUAAAAUAAUAACAAAAUUAAUAAUAAAACAACUGUUAUACAAUAUCUAAACAAUAACAAUAAAAUGGUAGUAAAAUAAAGAGAAAAUAACAAUAAGAUAUUAUUAAAACAACAAAAAGUAACAGAUUUUUUUACCCUCUUGUGAAUUUGGGCCAAGCCUAGGCCAAAAAUGCCUUACUCAAGACUCGACCGUUUUUUAAAUGGACCUCCACUUUUCGGGUGGGCCAUGAACAGGUCUAGUUGGGUGACCUCUAAUGUAGUUUACCCAAAAUAUACUAUAAGCCUUUGUAGUUUUCAAAAUUUUAGAAUUUAGUCCCUAUACUUUUAUUUUUAAGAAUUUAAUUCCUCUAUUUUUUCAAAUUUUAAAAUUUAGGUCCAACUGUUAACACUAUCAAAUUUUCUUGUUAAAUUUGAUGGCAUGACAUUUUGAUUUGAAAUUAAAAAAAAAAAACUCACUUGGUAGCCAUGUAAUUAAAAAAAUUACAUUAUAUGAACUUUAGUUUAACCUAAAAAAAAAAUAUUAACAGUUGGAUCUAAAUUUUGAAAUCUGAAAAGUAAAGGGACUAAAUUUCUGAAAAUGAAACUACAAGGACUAAAUUCCAAAUUUCCAAAUCUAUUUAUUGCUUUCUUUCAAAACUAUUUGUUUUGGCUCAAUUAUGAUUUGCUUUAUGUUAAAGAUGCAAAUCUUUUCAGAGAUAUGUAGAAAAGAAAAUUCAAGAAUAAACACAUGGAUUGUAUAAAAUGGAAAAGGAUUCAAGCAAAGAAAUAAAAUAGAUUUAAUGCUGUUUUGUUUCACUUGUAAAAAAGAAGGCAUUUUCAUUUCAGUUUUGUCUGGAAGUGGGAGCACAAAGACAAACAUUGAAGGCGAAGCGAAAGAAGCCAAACAUAUGUUCCAUCGGCAUCAACGUAAGAUACAACCAAAUUAAUUAUAAAGACGGCAAAGCCUAACCAUUUGGUCACUUUUAUUUGUAGUUUUCAAUUCUGGGUAUUGCUUUUUUCUUCAUUCCAAUUUUUGAGUUGAAAACGAUGUUUGAGAUUUCAACCAUGCCUUUUACUUACCAAACUCUCCCUUUCUAAUUUCUUUGCUCCAUUUUGACGGACCUUUCAAUUAAUAUAUUCCUACAUUUCUUGUAAACAACUCCAAUCUCCAAAGACCAUUAUUUUGGAUCUUUUAUGCCCAUCUCUCUUUCCGACCACAUUGGUUUUAUUGCCAAUCACCUCUUUUUUCUUUAUUUCUUUAUAUUUCAUGUUAUUUUUUUCAAAACUGAAUUAUAAGUACAUGACCCACUAACCACAAGUAUUUGAGUAAUCAACAGGUUAAGAAUUGACACCGUCCAGACUAAAACCAACAAACUGAGACUAAUUGGACUAAGACUCUCUGAAAUAAUGGCACUCAAAGAUUUACACGUAUAAUUGAUCAUGAUAAGUCUCAAACAUGGUUUAGGCCGGAUAGAUACAAAAUUUUAGGCUUGUUUUCUAAGCCCAGCUCGAAAAAUGGGCCUAAAAUUUUGUUUAAGUUCAACCCGGAUUAAAAAUGCUAAACCCAAGCUAGAUCCGGUCCACUCGUACUAAUUUUUUUAGAUUAUUUUUAUAUAAAAACAAAUUUUAAAAAUAUAAUAUAUCAAAUACACUAAAAAUAUUAAAAUAAAAGUUUUCCAAAAAAUUAAAAAUGCAUUAAAAAGUCUUUAUACUUAAAUAACACUAAGAUAGUUAUAACUUAAUAAGCAAAUACCUUUAAAAUAGUAGCAAGAUUAACAAUAAAACAAAAGUUAUAUAAUAUUCAAACAAUAACAACAAAAUGUGUCGAAAUAAAAGCAAAAAAAUAACAAAAUGGCAACAAAACAGCGGCAAAAAAGAAGUUUAGGUUGAUUCAAGCUGAGUUCGGGCAAAAAAAAAUCCAACUCGAGGCUUAAUCCGUUUAAAAACGGGCUUUAUUUUUUUGUCUAAACUCAUUUUUUAAAACCCUCCUAUUUUUUGGAUAGACCUCAAGCCAGAACAAGUCACCCAACCCAUGAUUAAGUUUACUCAAUAUUCAAAACCUCCACCUUUACUGAAGAAUAUUUAUUAUUUAAAACAUGAUAAUUAUUAAAAAAAUUAUUUAAUGGAUUGUUAAUUCACAAAAUUAUUUGUUUGGUAAAUUAUAUAAUGUUAUUUAUUAGUAAAUAAUAUUUUUAAAACUUACCUUUACUUAUUAAUAAGAUGAAGCGUUUCUUUUGGAUGUAUAAUUACAAGUUACAAUAAAUUUAGAUAAAAUUUUCAUAAUAAAUUCUAAAUUAAAAUUUUAUACAAAAUAAAAUUCGAAUCUAAAUAUUAAAAAAAUAAUUUUAGCACUUUUCCACGUCUAUAAACUGUAAAUAUAAUUAAGGAACUGGAUACGAAUCAAUUUGGUGUUUAAGUGAUGAAUCCAUUAACAUAAUUAAUUAAUAUUAUAUAUUUACAAUGAUUUUCCCCCCUUAUAUUUUAGUUUCUAAUAAUGUUGUUUUAAGAUAAAUAAAGUUUUAAUGAAAAUUAGAGAGAUUCGACAAUUGGUAUGUAAAAAUAAAAUUAGAAAUGGCUUUUUUUUUCGUUAAUUAGAAAUGACUUUUAAGAUGGGAUCCAUUCUCUGUUUUUUUUUUUUUUUUAAUUGUUGUCUUGAUUAAAAAAAUCAACGGGUUUGGUGGCCCAUUGGCCUGAUCGCAGGAGCGUGGCCGAAGGGACCGUCCCCUAGUUAAAUGGGAAAAUUUCUUUUUAGUCCCUCCUCAAAAUUAAAAGAUUCAAUUUAAGGUUUUUUUUUAAACUUUUGAUUAAAUGAAAAAAUAUAUAUAAUUUUAAUCGUUUGGAAAAUGUAAUAAUUUAAUUUAAGCUUUUCUAGUACAAGAUUUUUAGCUUUGGUCUCCCAGAUUUGAUAAUCUUAUCUCUCUCUUAAACAAAAUUUUUUAUUUUACUUGAUGAAUCUGUCAAGUUCAAUUUAGAUCGGAUUUGAAUAAAAAAAUUUUAGUUCAUGAGUGAAUUUUAGACUUAAUGUUUUAUUUAAAUUUAAUUAUAAAAUAGAUAAAUUUAAAUAAAACUUUAUUUUUUAAAAUAAUAAUAUGAAUUUUUUCUUGUUUAAAAAAAAACAAAAGAUAGGGAAUAUAGGCUUGACCUAUUGUGGGUGAACACUUUAGGCUAGUAGUUGUAAUCUCUGCCUGAAAGAUUUGCUCCUAUCUUUAAAUUUUCUAAUUAAAGUAUUGUUUCAUAGCAAUUCAUUAAUUGUAUUGUAAAACGUGAUUAAAAUAAAUGACACGACAAUUAAAAGAGUUUUUUUUUUUAAAUUGCAAGAAAAUAAAUGUUAGUUCCAAACUCCGUUUGAAUUUACCAGAAUAUUUUACAUAAAAAUGAUGCUUUGUACUUGUUCACUAAUGCUAUUCACGUGGGAGACUGUAUGUCCUCAUAAAAGAAGGUUGAAUUUUCAAUGUUACCUUCGACUUAAUAUUUAAGUAUUUUCAUUGGUUAUUUAUGGCUCCACUGCUAUUUAUUUUACUCACAAAUGUGUUUAAAUUCUAUCUAGAGUAUAGGUGAAGUAUUUUUAUUCUAUGACACCUGCUCUCAACAAAGCAAACCCAACUCUCGUAAACUUUUAUACCUAUUCUUUUAGGUGAAAAUAGUUGGGUAUUACAGGCUAUUAACUAUUUUAUGAUAAAAACGAGAGGAGAAAACUCAAUUUUUGAGGUUUCAUGGUUGAACACGAAAAGUCCUAUACUACCACUGAUUCUUCAAAACAUGGUUAGCAAAUUAAGAUAGGAUAACUUCAAACUAUACCAACUCUCUGGCAAAAUUAAAUAUGGAGUUAUUACCUGUAUUUUACAGCUUUUCUUCUCUUAGUUAAAUUUUAUUUUUAGUUUCUCACUUGAAUUCUGAUUACUGUAAGUUAUUUUAAUAUUAGUUUUUCACUUAAACUCUAAUUAGUGCAGCUUAUUUUAAUAUUAUUUGACCUACAAAUUUAGCCUAUAAAUAUGUAUUUUUUCCACCUAAGAAAAAUAACUCAUUACACAAUUAUGUAUUAGUUUUUACAAGCUUUUAGAGAAUUUUGUAUUUACGUUUUUGGGGUUCUUAUUUUGGGUUUCGAGGCUUAGUUUUAUCUCCAUCUUUUGCACUAUUCAUUUUUGCCGUUUUAUUGAAAUUAUCUUUGCUCGUAGUUUUUUAUCCUCUUCGAAGGAGUUUUUCCACGUAAAAUAUUUGCGUUCGAUCUUUUCAAUUUCUUCUUUAUUUUACAUGUUUGUUGCUUAAUCAUCUUUAUCCCCAACGAACUAGUAUCAGAGUUAGUUCGAUUUCCACAAUCAACCUAUUCAGAGAUGGAAACAACAAGGUUUGAUAUUGAUAAGUUCGAUGACAUCAUAAAUUUCAAUUUGUGGCAAGUUUAGAUGACAGAAAUCCUAAUUCAGGGCGAUUUUAAGAAAGUUCUUACAAAGAAGAAGCCUACAGAAUGGAUAAAUCAUAAUGGGGUAGGUUAGAUAAAAUUGUUCUAUCCACGAUUCAAUUAUGUCUAAUAAAUAAUGUGUUGCGUGAGGUUUUGAUGGAGAAAAUGACAUUCACCUUAUGGAAAAGGUUAGAAACCCUCUACACGACUAAAUCUCUUGCUAACCGAUUAGUGCUGAAACAACGGUUGCACACAUUCUGCAUGAACGAAGGUAAGCAUCUUAGAGAUCACAUUAGUUAAUUUAUUACUCUUUUGAAUGAUUUAAAGAACGUUAAGGUUCAGAUCGACAAUGAAGAUCAGGCUCUGAUAUUCUUGUGCUCUUUACCCCCAUCAUACAAGUCCUUCAGGGAGACCCUAAUAUAUGGCAAAGAUAAUCUCUCAUUUGAGGAUGUGAAGGGUUAUCUAUCAAGCAAAGACAAACUCGACAAUGAGUUUGGUUCGGAUAGCAAGUCAGAUAGGUAAGCUUCGAUUUUGGCAGCAUCAAGGAAGCGAGACAAGAUAUGUCGCUAUUGUAAGAAAUGAGGUCACGUCAUGACAGAUUGUUACAAAUUGCGAAAUAAAAGGGCUACUAAGAGCAACAAGGAAGAUUUAGCUUGUGCUAAUUUAACCAAUGGAAACGGUGAUGAUUUCUUAUUGGUGUCAACAGGUGAAAGCUCUAAUCUUACAUCCAAGUGGAUCAUGGAUUCAAGGUGUUCUUUACACGUGUCCCAACAUAAACUGGUUCUCCACAUACAGUUCAGUUGAACGUAGAGUUGUACACAUGGGGAAUGAUUCAUCCAAUAAAGUAAUUGAUAUUGGUACUGUUCAGAUCAGGAUGCACGACGUGACAAUUAGGACACUGUCAGAUGUCAAGCAUAUGGCUGACUUAAAGAAAAAUCUCAUUGGGAAUUUUGGUCUCGAAGGUUUGUAGAAGUAACAUCGAGUCAAGCAACAUUAAGGUAUCAUGUGAGGCUCUCGUUUUGAUGAAAGGUAAAAAGAUUGAUAGUCUUUAUGUUUUGGAAGGAUCAACAGUGACCGGUGAAACAUGACUUCCCUCGUCUGUUAAGGAGUUGAAGUCGACUUGUUUGAAGCGUAGACAACUUGGUCAGAGGAGGGAAAAGGGUAUGAUCGUUUUGUAUAAGAGAGGUUCUCUUUUGGGUGCAGGUUUUGAAAAGAUAAGGCACUGCGUUCGCGGAAAUCAGACCCAAGUCAGUUUUGAUUUGACAAUACACAAGUCGAAGACUAGAAGUCUUCCAACGUCUAAGCAUAACUUUGACUCAGUUAAUAUUCUACAUAGUUCAAGAUAAACCUGUGGCGGGAUUUGGAAAAGAAAGCAUUGUGGAAAUACGAGUCAAAGUGGAGAUCUGUGGAGUUAUGUCUCGUAUUUUUCGGCUUUUCUUCUUCCAGUUAAAUUCUAUUUUUAGUUUCUCGCUUGAAAUUUGAUUAGUGUAGGUUAUUUUAAUAUUAAUUUUGCACUUAAAAUCUUAUUAAUGUAGGUUAUUUUAAUAUUAUUUGACCUACAAAUUUAGGCUAUAAAUAGAGGCCCUUCUUCCACCUUAGAAAAAUAACCCAUUACACAUGUAAGUAUUAGUUUUGAUUAAAUGCUAAAGUUACAUAUUUUAUGUAAUUAAAUUGGUUAAUUUAUGAGAAUGCACCACUAACUUUGCCAUAUUUAUUGAAUUUUGUGCAGGAAUGCAAUUUGGGGGCUAAGUAGAAGAAAAAGGGAACAAUUGGGCCAAAUUAAAGAAAGAAGCAAAGAAGGAGGGCCAAAGUAGAAUUUUUCCUAUUUUAAUUAGCUGAAAAUUUUGUUGAAUUAGUGGGGGAGAUUAUUUUGGGAUAUUUUUGGUCAUGGAAUAUUUUUUUUCCUUAAUUUCCUAUGACUAGUUGGUUCCUAAUUUAGUAAAUCCUCUAGUAUAAAUAGUGCUUGUAUUGUUCAUCAUUUCAUCAAUCAAAAAAUAUUUUAGCUUUUGUCUUUCAAUUCUCUCCUUUCUCACGUAGCCUUUGUUAUUUCUUAGCUUGCUUUCCUUCAAUUUUUAUUAGUUCCAGUAGCCUACCAUCCAUUUCACCUUUAUUUUCAACUUUUCACAAAUUUAUUUAUUGUCUUUAGUUUCUUUAACUUUCAAUUCCUAAAAACUUCCAGCUUUUACUACUUUCCAAUUACAACACCUUUUUCAAAUUCCCUUUUUCAACCAACCCCAUUCUCAAUUACAUCACCCAUCUUUUCACCCUUUCUACCUUAAUUAAUUUAUCAAAUACCAACAUGUCCCAAACCUUAGCCAACUAAACCCAUUUUCAGCUUUAGGCCGAAAUUAACCUCGUCAAAACCCGUGAGUUACGAACCCGAGCCAUUUAACUCCUAAAAUUCCAGUACUUAUUACUUCUCCGGAUUAAGAGUAUGAUUUUGUCAGCUCAUAAAGUCAGAUCAACACUAAGUCAAAAAAGACGUUGUUUGAUUUGGUGUGAUUGGACGUACAGUUGGAAUUCCGAAAAGAACGUUUCUAAUCGGUUUUCUGUGAACACAAUGGCGUGCCAAGUGGAGGCUGCUGUUUGGUUCCGUCAAGGGGAGUAGUAACCGGAUUUAAAUGUCCCACGCGUUUGAGGGCAUUGGUUCGAGCUAGGCUCUUCUAGAACGCAAAGCUGCCGGAGUUCUAAAUCACGAACGUUUCUUGAUUGUUCGAUCGGUAAGAGUUAGUUAUUGGACGUUCCAUAACUAAUUUACACGAGGAAGAGUUGGUGUCCGAGGCGUCCUUGGUAGCUAUAACUAGCUUAUUGGAAAAGAAGAGUUUAUCCAAUUUCGAGGAUCGGUUCAAAGACGAGGAAAAUUCGCGCCUAAAGUUGAGCUCAUUCUAAUUAAUUCUUCUUAAUAUUUAUUUCACGGUUUUUAUUAUUCUGUUUUCAACUUUUACUUUUGACAUUAUUUUUCUGUUAAUUUCAGGUUUUCAGAUUUUUAUCCCCCGAACGUCUUGGGCACGACAGCUGCCCCGACAAAAAUCUGGUCAAGAGAGGAACAAUUUGCAGUAAACCAGUCUCUGAGGGAUCGAUCCUACUCCCUAUACUGCAUAAUUUGCGAACUAAGGCGUAGGUUUAUAUUGGUGGAUUCGACACCCAUCAGUUUUUACAAGCUUUCAGAGAAUUUUGUGUUUACGUUUUGAGGGUUCUUAUUUUGAGUUUUGGGGUUUAGUUUUAUCUCUAUAUUUUGUACUCUUUGUUUUUGUUAUUUUAGUGAAAUUAUCUUUACCUGUGGUUUUUAUCCUCUUCGGAGGGGUUUUUCCACGUAAAAUAUUUGUGUUCGAUCUUUCCAAUUUCUUGAUUAUUUUACUUGUUCGUUGCUUAAUCGGAUUUAUCCCCAACAAUAAAUAAAGACCAUUCCAAUUUCUUUAGAUUUAGAUGGAUUUGUUGUUGAUUAAGACAUCCUUAUAUUUACACAUGUUAUUUGUUUGCAUUACAAUUAUAUUUAAAAUAUUGUAUGUUUAUAUAUUUAAAAGCAUUUGAUUUGCUUUCCAAAACCUUCUGCAGAAAUGACUUGUUGAUGAUGGAUUUGCACAAGGCGAAAAAUGUGAGAUAUAUGGUUUAUUCUAUUUAGUAUAGAAUAGAGAACUGUCAAAUAGGAUAAUUGGAGAUGAGGGUGGGGAGGAGUAGGCAAGAGAGAGAGUAGAAGAGUUAGAAAAGGAAAAAAGAUUCGCUUUUGUUUACACGUUUUGGUCUUUAUAUUUCAUUAGCUACUUGUUCCAAGGUGCCACGUGUCCAAUUAUUAUUUAUAAGUUAGAGUCAAGUAGCCAAAUGGCUUGAUGGUAUGGGUCAAAGUAGGGUGAUGCUAUGAUGUCCCCUAUGUCACUUCAGAGGUGAUAGAAGUCUGAUGUGGCAGUUAAUGAGUAAGGUUCACUUGACUAUUAACUCUGAUGGUUUUAGCAAGGGGUUCUAUCGAGGGGCCCAUUCUUACUGUUGGUAAGCCUCCCGCUCAGUCUGGAUGGUUGAGGUGUAACAAUUGCUCCCAAAUUGAGAGGAAUGUUAUACAGUGUCCUUAGAGACCUAAAUUAGCUCUACGCUUUUAUGUUUAGUGAAGUGUGUUUAAGAUUAAGAGCAUUGUAAUUAGUGUGAAGCAUUUAGAAUUUGGAACGGCAAGUCUAUGCACGUAAAAGGCACACUUGGGCAAUAUUUCAAAAAAACUUGCGCGUUUGCAUGCAUUAAUGGAUUAUGCGUUACAACGCAUUAUUGGGAAACUUUUGUCAUUUAUGUUUCAAAAAUACUAGGUGCAACAUUUUUAUUGGCGAUAAGAGGUCAUGUUUGCUGGCUUCUAGAAGCAUCUUUUAGCUAGAGGAGUUAAUAUAACCUUAAACCUUGGUAUUCUGUCAUUAUUCACUAGAGUUUUGAAAAUUUUCAAAGUUUCUUCAUAUUUUACUACUUUUUUUUGUAGUGUACAGUGGUGUCCAUUUUAGUUUUGGUAACUUUGGUCAUUUUGUUUUCAUAUUUUCCAAUUAUAACUUUCACGUUUAAACUUCAUUCUUCAAUCCGUUUUCAAAUACAUUCUUCUAUAACAUCUAGAAAAAAUAUUUACAAAAUUUUCCUAUCUAUAUUGACAUAAUUGCAUUUUAGUCUCUAUGUUCAUAACUAACAAAUUUCACUUUAUAAUUUAGUCUUACUUAACAUCUAAACUUAACAUGCAAUCAUUUAACACCAAGGGCUUCAAAAUUAAUCAAUAGCAACAUUUUAAAAUUUUAACAAUUUUGCAAAAUAGUCCUCAAUCUAAUUAAAUCAAGCUCCCGAGAUUUCAAAAACAUAAAAAUUAUGAGAAACGAGCUUGAAAUCACUUACUAAUUGAAUAUUGAAAGCUUGAAAUCCCUAACCCUUAUUAUUUUUCUUACAUUAGACCAUAGAAGAGAUUUGGAGAAGAUGAUGAGAUUUAUCAUCUUUUUUAUUUAUUAAUUUUAACUUAUAUAGUUAGGUAAAAAUGUAAAUAUUAGGAUCUUUUUAUUUAACCUAUCAUUAACUUAAUUUAAGCCUUAUUUACAUGGAUGAUAACCUCAUCUUCCACUAACCAUAAUCACACAUUGGUCCAAUUUCAUAAUUGGACCCUUAAUAAUUUAAAAAUCUACAGCAGUUAACUUUUAUUGUUUUCACAAUUUAGUCAUUGUACCUUAAUUACUACUCGUUCAAUAAAAUUAUUGAAUCAAAAAUAAAUAUAAUACUAUAAUAAACUCAUAAAUAUUAAAAAUUAGUAUUUACUAACUUAGUUAUCGGAGUACGAGGUUUCGAAACCACUAUUUUCGAUACCACUAAAAAGAAAUUGUUGCAUUUCAUAAGUAGUUUAAAAGCGUGAGCUAAACAUCACAAACAUAUUCACAAGUUAAGAUCAGCUUAAAUUGAUUGAAUUGACUCCACUGAAAAUUGCAUUCAGGCUCGAGAAUUGGAGUUAUCAAGUCUAUCUUCAUUAUUUUUCAUAUUUCUUCUAGUUUCACAAUGUUGUUUCCUUUGAUAACCCUCUCAAUAGGUAAAGAUCAACCUAUUAUAAUAGCACGCCAAGCCUUUUUUAUGAAUAGCCUUGGUCAAGGCUCUAGGACGAUCUUUCCAAUGAGCACAAUUUGAUUUAUCAAGCAAUGGAGAUUGAGAGAUUAUUUGUCCUUCCUUUAAAGUUCCCAUAACAAAUAACUAAACAAUCAAAAUCACACCAAAAAAAUAUUUGAUGAAUUGCUCUAAUACUAGUUAAUAAGUCUAGUUAUGUGUGUUAUCUAAAGUAUCGUAAUGUUGGCUAAAACAAUAUAGAUUGAAAGAAUUUAAAAGAGCAAACACAAGGCAAUUGUUUACGCCUUUCGACAAUUAACACCUACAUAUGCGAAGCCAUGCCUAGAGAAUAGAUUCACUAGUCAAAUCAAAAGUACAACCCUUAAUAUGAACUUAGACAAUCUAAGGUGCCUUACGAUUUCUAUGGUCUUAACUAGAGGUGGCAAUCGAGCAAAUUAGGGUUGGGUUAUUUCGGGUGCCGACUUUUUUGAGUUCGGGUUCAGUUUUUUUUUGUGUUCAAGCUUUUCUAGGUUCAGGUUUUUCGAGUUUAGGCCUUCAAAUUUAGGUAGUCGAGUUAUUUUGAGUUUGAUCUCGGGUUUGAUUCGGGUUCGAGUUUGGUUUACAUUCAAUGUAAGUAUAUAUAUCUACAUAAUUUAAAUGUUUACAUCUCAAUAUAAAUUAUUAAUUUAUUAUAUAUUUUAAGUAAUCUUUUAUUGUGAUACAUGGUUUUUAAUUACAUUUUAAUUAACAUUAAAAUUAAAACUUGUUAUUGUUACUUGUUAGUAUAAAAAUUAUAUAAAAUCAUUUGUGCUAAGUAAUUGACAUAAUACAAGUUAAUUAUAUUGAAUUUUACAAUAAUUGAUUAAAUGAACUUGAUUAUGAAAUAAUACAUUAUAAUUUAUACUAUUAUUCAUUAUGAAAUAGUUUUUUUAACAAAUGAUACUACUUUCUUAUCUAUAUUUGCAUAAUGAAAAAAUUUUAUGCUUACAACAAAAUAUAACUUGACAUUCUAUUUUUAUUAUCAAAGACAUUAUAAUUUGUAUUCAUAUAAAAUUUGAGAAAAUACAAUACUAAAUAAUAAAAUAUAAUAUUUAUUUAAAAAUAUAUCUUACUUUAAAUUCUAAAAUACAUUAUACAUUCAUGUAUUAAUAUUUGGUGACAUAAAUUAUAUGUUUUAAGUAUAAAAAAUUUAAAUUCAAAUUUUAUUAAUUAUACAAAAUUAUUUGUUCCAACUCACAAAAGUUUAAACACUAAUGUAGCUUUUGAUUUUUAUAAUUUCUCUAACUAUUUUAUCAAUAGUUGAAAUAAAAUAUGUUACUUGAUAAUAUAUAAAUAUUUCUUACAUCUAAAUUAGGAAUUAAAUUAUCCCAUACAAUUUUUUAUUCCAAAAAUUAAAAGUUAAAUACAAUUACAAAUAAUUAAUAGUGGUAAAUUGUAAUCUCAUUUUCUCAAAAAUUACUAUUUCAUUAUAUAUAAAAUAAUUAAUUUAUUUAUUAAGAAAAAUAUUUGAAUAAAACUAAUAAUUAAAGCUUUUAUAAAAGUAUUUAAUUAUAGUUUGAUUAUUUUAUUUUUAUUACUAAAUUUGGGUUUGAUUUUUUUAGGUUUGGAAUUUUUCAAGUUUAGGUCUUUUUUGAGUUUGGAUUUUUUGAAAUUUGAAUUUUUGACUUUUUGGUCAAAUUGGGUGUAAAAUGAGUUCGAUCCCGAGUUUUUUCAGGUCGGGUUCUCAUGCUCGGGCCCAUUUUGCUACCUUUAAUUUUAGGGAUGUUUGGGUUAAUUGUUUGGAUUUUUUCAAAGUUUGGGUUUUUUUUAGUUUAGAUUUUUUAAAGUUUGAGGUUUUAACUUUUUGAUCAAAUCAGUUUAAAACGAGUUCGGUCUCAAGUUUUUUGGGUUGGGUUCUCAAGCUCAGACCCAUUUUGCCACCUCUAAUCUCAACAUGUACAUCUUCUCAUAGAUCCUAAUAAUAUUCUCUCACCCACAAAGGAGGAUGAACAUCCUUUAUAAAUCAUCAACUAGUCAUUUUUGUCAAGCAUAUCCUUCCAAACACAAGGUCGUGUUAGUAAAGAUGCAUCACUAAAAUUUAGGGAUGACAAUUUAGAUUACGGAUUCAAAUACUAUUCGCAUUUGUUAUUCGGAUAAUAGAUUCAAAUAUUCAAGAAUAUCCGACUUCGUGUAACUGGUUACAAAAUAUUUGAAAUGUUACUUCCUACAUGCUUUGAACACAUAAUCAUUAACAAUUAAAACUAUAUUUAAAUCAUCAAUACUAGUCUUCAGCUUUAGUUAAAAUUUACACAAACUAAUAAAUAACAUAUAAAUAUCAAUAAAAAUAUUUUCUAAAAUUAAAUAUUUUAAUUAAUGAUAAAAUUAAAUAUAAUAAUUACUAAUAAAUGUAAUAAAUUUAAAUAUGCUUAAAAAAUCAUUAGAAAAAUAUAUCUUAUUUAACAUUUUAUUCUCUUAAACCUCAUGUAGCUUCUCUUAAAUAUUAUUCUUUUGUAUUCGUAAAUCUAACUGAACAAUGAGAUGAAAUCAUCAGAAUUUCUAGAUUUUUUAUUACCCCUUUCAUUGUUUGAUCAACUCAAUUAGUUAAAUUAUUUUAAACAAAAAUUAACUAAUAUUUAUAUAAUUAAAAUAAAUAUAAAUUUAUUUUAUAAUGUAACAUAAUUAUCUUUAAUGCAUAUUAUAUUAUAUUAUAAAAACAAUAUACAUACACUUUUAGGAACAUAAUAUAUCAAUCGUGAAUGUAUAAUAAUUAUUUUAACAUUAUGAUAUUACAAUGUGCAUUCUUCUAUUAAUGAUGUGCAACCUAAACAUUAAACAUGUAUCUAAUUUUAUGGUAUACUAUAAUACAUACAAUUAGUAUUAUAUAAUUAAGGUAUAUUAGUUAUGGAUAUUAUAAUAACAUAAUUGUACAUAAGGUUACACAUCAAAUUUCAUUUGACAUGUUGGCUGGAAAUAGCAUCGUCAUAUGUCAAAUUCCUCCAGAAUGGCCAAAGAGCUUUCUUGAGGAUCUCUUUCACUAAUAAAGAAGGUAUGAAAAGAUAAACAAAUGAGGAAGAGUGAUUUAUUUUAAAUUAGGAUUGGUCAAUAAAAAAAAAUUUAUGUGAGAGUGAAUCUAGUUGAUGAACAGAGGAGCUUAUAUACAAUUAGUUACAUAUUUACAGGUUUAGGUUUCGUUAAUAGAAAGAUGCACAUUAUAAUAUCCUAAUGUUAUAAUAAUUAUUUUACAUUCAUAAUUUAAUUAUGUAACAAUUAAUAUAUUAUAUUUCCUUAAACUCCAACGUUAAAGGCUAGCUUUGAUGGUUAAAACAUAACUUUAAUCAUCAAAUGUCAUGUGUCGUAAAUUCGAUUUCGAAUUUAAAUUUAAAUAUUAAAAAUUAAAUAAUUUACGACUAAAUUAUAAAUUCAGAUUCAAAUAAUUCAAAAUUUGUAAAUAUCUAACUAAAAUCUCAGCAAUGCUCCCUCUAAUAACACCAAUCGUUAUCCCAUAUGAAAAAAUAUUAUCUUCCACGCACUUAGUAGCACUACAUAUACUUGAGGUUAAGAAAAGCUUAAGAUAAUUCUUAUAUGUCUUACAAAUAAACUCCUAAAAAACAUCAAUUAAAAAAUUAUUUACAAAAAUAGUCACACUCGCAAUGCUGUUUGUGUGUCACUUACAGUAUUGUAACACGUUUCACUUAAUUAUUUAAUUAAUAAUACUUUAUUUAAAUUUAAAUUAGAAAAUUAUUUAGUGUAAUUUUUAAACUCCACAAGCAGAAUUAGGAAUGAAUAAGUACGUUAUAAAAAUAUUAUAAAAUAUUAAAAAUAAAUAUUUAAAUAUUUAGUGUAAUUCAAAGCUACUUAUAAAAUAAAAAAAUGCAUUAUAAAUUUACCAAAUACUAAUCCAUUUAAAUUUAUAAUAAAUUAAUAUAUAAAAUAUAUUAUAUUUUAAUACAUUUCAAAUUAUGAUACAUCAUGAAAAUAAUAUCAACAUAAUAUUAUACAAAUGCAUCAAUAUUUACUUAACACAAUUUAUUAACGUUUAAAAAUUUAUAUAAAUAUAAUACAUUAAAUAUGAUGUAAUAUAAAUAUACAAAUUUUAAGCAUGUGUUAGGAAUGUAACUGAUAAUGAUAAUGCAUUAAUUAACAUCAUGUCAGAUUUAUCAUACACUUUAUUAUAAAUAUUUUGAUAUUUUUUUGAAAUUACCUUUAUUAAGUAAAAUACAAAUUAUUAGUUUGAAUAUUUUCCAAUAGUAUUUGUAAUUAACAAAAACAAAUCCAUAUUUUAAAUAAUAUUAAUUUAUUUUGUACAAAACUAUUUUUUUUUGGUACUUUUAAAAUUUGUGAUUAUUCUUCCCAAUAAUAUUAUUUUUAAUGCUUGAAUUUCAUUCUGUUUUUGAAAGGCCACUGCACCAACACUUUAUGAUUAUAAAAUAAAUUAUUAAAGUUUCUUGAAAUUGGAUUGUAAAUUAAAAUUUAAUUUGAUAACAUUUAAGAUAAAAUAUUUUUAAUUUAGUAGUUUGAAAUUUAUUGUAUAAGAAUUAUCUUUCCAACCAUGUAUGAAAAUUACGUUUUCAUCUAAAUUAAAAAAAAAACACAAACAUUUCAUUGUUUCAAAGCACCAAGAAAUUUAAUGAUUUUUUUUUGCAUAUCACCUAUGGACCUAUGAUAUUGACGAAUUAAAUUUCAUGAAAGUGAACAUUUUUAUAAUAAUAAAAUCCUCUAUAAGGUAGAGAGGAAAGUGGAAAUAUAUUGAGAGGGAUGGGGGGGGGGUUGAGUUUUGAACAAAUCCCAACAAGUAGAGAUAAAUGUAGUAUAUAGUUUUGGAAGAUAGCUAAGCUUACUUGUCUCUUUGUCUUAAUAUAUAUGUAAUAGAAAGGAGAUUAGAUAAUACAAAUUGUAUGGUGAUGGGGUUUGAAAAAUCAAAAAUUGGGAAAUCCCAAUUAGGGACAGCUGAGAUGAGCUGAGCUUUCACACAUAAAAACCCCACUAGGAAACAAAACUGAAGAAGAGCCCAUUCUUUGGUUUGUCUUUGUUAGGGCAUGUUUGGCUUCUUCUUUGGUUUGGGAAUCUGUUAAAAAGGCAGAGUCUUUGAGAGAGAUGCCAAACCCUUCCCUGAUUCCCUAUCCACCUAAUGCAACGACAACACUAAGCAUUUAAAAAUAGAGUUUGGGUUAAGUUUUUUGAUUUAAUUGAAGAGGAAACUUGAGGGAAAGUAAAGACAAAGGUUGAGAAAAAGAUAAAGGCUUUACUCAGAAAAUUCCAUAUUCCACUGAAAGAGGGGACGACAACAAAUCAUUAAAGGACAAAGCUUUCCUUCACGCAUUGUCGACAACCUUGCCAUGAGAUGAGCAACGCCCCCAUCGCUUAGCUAAUACCAUUCUCCUUUCUUUCCUCCCCCCCCCCCCCCCCCUCUUCCCCUCUGCCUUCCAGAAGUAUUCAGAGUCUGCCUUUGAACCCUCUUUUGACUCCAUUUAAAACCCAGAAAAGAAAAGCUCUUUCUUCACACUUCGCUUGAAUUACAGAUUCCAAUCUUGGAAAUUUUUAUGUGCUUUCUUUUGGGUUUUUGAUCAGUUGCAAAACCCAGUAAGGAUUCCGCCCAACCCUUCUUCUUCUGUAAUAUAUACAUACAUAUAUAUAUUCAUUUGGUGUUACUUUCAUGUACUUGUCUUUGGGAAGAACUCAUCUUUCAUUGUUUUUUUUCCAAAAGACUAUUUGGGGUUGUCUUGCUUCUUAAUUUUUUUUGUUAGAUCCUAAAGGAUAUUUGGUCUGACGCAUUUAUCAGACUUCUAAAUUUUCAGGUAACCUAUAGAUUACUCCAAAUCUGGGUUUGUUUUGGUUAAAUUUGUGAAGUUUAACCAUCUUUUGGUAAUUCUAGUUCAUGCUAAAUUUCGAUCUUGCAUGAAACUUUGUUACUUUACUCUUUAGUAAAAAGAGACCAAAAGGUUGUGCCAAUGUUCCAAGACGAAUCAUCGUCUGUAACAUCAUCAUCAUCACCUCUCCAAGUUUUCUCCAUGAUGUCACUCUCACCUAACUUAGGAUCACCCUAUCCUUGGCUUAGAGAGUUAAAAUCAGAAGAAAGGGGGUUGUAUUUGAUCCAUUUACUGCUCACUUGUGCUAAUCAUGUAGCAAAUGGUAGCCUUGAAAAUGCUAAUAUUGCACUUGAGCAAAUAUCCCAACUCGCAUCCCCCGAUGGUGAUACUAUGCAGAGAAUGGCUGCAUAUUUUACUGAGGCCCUUGCUGAUAGAAUCCUCAAAGCCUGGCCUGGUCUUCAUAAGGCCCUCAAUUCCACCAGGAUUACUUUGCUUUCUGAAGAAAUCCUUGUUCGGAAACUGUUUUUCGAGUUGUUCCCCUUCUUGAAGGUGGCCUUUGUUCUUACAAACCAAGCCAUAAUCGAAGCCAUGGAAGGAGAAAAGAUGGUUCAUAUAAUAGAUCUCAAUGCAGCUGAACCUGCGCAGUGGGUUGCACUUAUUCAAGCUUUGAGUGCAAGGCCUGAAGGGCCGCCUCAUUUGAGGAUUACUGGCAUUCAUCAACAGAAAGAACUGUUGGAUCAAAUGGCUCAUAGAUUGAUUGAAGAAGCUGAAAAAUUGGACAUCCCCUUUCAGUUCAAUCCGGUUGUUUGCAAAUUAGAGAAUCUCGAUGUUGAUAAAUUGCGUGUUAAAACUGGGGAGGCAUUGGCAAUCAGUUCUGUUCUCCAACUGCAUUCAUUUUUGACUUCUGAUGAUGAACUUCUUCGGAAGAAAUCGCCAUGGGAUCGAAGAAUUUGAAUGGAAUUCACUUGCAAAGAGCCCUGCAGAUGAACCGAGCACUUUAGGAGAGUUGCUUGAAAAAGAUAUGGUUAAUGGAUACAGCCCUAGCCCGGAUUCGGCCUCAUCAUCACCGCUAUCUUCAACUGGAUCAGNNNNN